RNAcentral lists this long non-coding RNA (72094 nucleotides) under Triticum aestivum (bread wheat). RNAcentral describes it as "long non-coding RNA (TAES_LNC002156)". The stretch from base 63390 to 63474 matches the Rfam family "MIR1120/MIR1122 microRNA precursor family". Lineage: Eukaryota; Viridiplantae; Streptophyta; Magnoliopsida; Poales; Poaceae. The record is from RNAcentral.
CUCGGUUCAGCAUGCGAGAAGUACCAAUUCAAUGGGAAUUCCUGUCUAUUAACUUAUGGUUGGUGGUCUGUGGUGACAUGCUCCUCAUGAUUGCCUAGAGGUUAAACUCUGGCGGAUUGGAUGGCUCAUCCUUUAAGGUCUUUCGACUCGACUUCACUGUUGAACCAGCUAAGUGGGUGAAGGUGGAGAAGUUGGAAAAUAUUGCCCUGUUUGUUAGCCUUGAUAGGAGGGAUCCUACAUUUUAUUGCAUGAGCCCAGAAAGAUGGGGAGGAAAGAGUAACUGCAUUUAUUUUGCAAGGCUAUCUGAAGAUCCUGAGGAAACUUGGUCUGCCGCUGAGCUUGGUCAGCUAGUGCCAAAAAACGCAGUUCACCCCAUGUUCUAUGGUAUGUCAUUCCCUCCCGACUGUGGUGUACUGAGUAGCCUAUGGGUGUUCCCCAGUUUAAUUUAUGGUUCUGGCUAGUGAUCCUGUCACAGGGUUUUUAUCUUAGUUAGCAAUUGGUUUUGUAGCCAUGAUGGUUUCUGAUUUUGGGAGCAACGUUUUGUGUUCAAGUACAAUUGAUCUCUAUUGGCAUGCUGCUCUUACGCCUGGGUGUAUUGUGCAUUUGUCAUGUGCUUGCACCGGGUUUCAUCCACGUGCUGAUAAAUGAGACAUAUUGUCAAGUAUAACUUGGGUACUAUUCUGGGCAAACUCAUCGUGUAUUCAACUUCACUUUACCUACCUUAUUAUGUGUACAUGCUGGGGUGCUCUAAACCACCACCUUGGAUAAUUUUUCUUUUUGCUGGAUUGGAUUGAAUCGUUCAUUGUUGAACUGGAUGUAAUGUACCGGAUGGUGGUUUUCUUCCCCUUUUUAGUUGGUAAUUUGUUGAUGGAGCAGGAGAAAGCUUGCAUGUUUACUCUGGAACCACUCUGCAAAUCACGUCUUGUGCUUACAUCUUAUUGGGUGGGGUCUCUGUCUUAAGCUUGUGCGUCUUGUGCUUACAUCUUAUUGGGUGGGGUCUCUGUCUUAAGCUUGUGCCUCUGUAUUCUGUAUGUACAACUUGGGCAAGCAAUGGCUCCAUCUCACAUAACGAACCAGUUUUCUUUUCUCACGUACAAGUACAUCACUAAUAGACUAGCUCAUCAUUUUCAUUUACAAAAAACAUUCAAAAUGACAGGACUAAAUCAGCAAUAUGUAUGUUUGAGACAGAUGUUAGAAUAAUCCGAGGCACUCCGUCUUCUACCGAGGACCAAGCAAUCACAUAAGCACGACACCGAGAUUUGUUAACGAGGUUCACCAUCAUGGUUACAUCCCCGGGGCCUGACUACGGGCGCUCCUCCCCGUGACACCGUCACAAUACCGCACCCCGGCCGCCCGGGCGCCGGCACACGCCACCGGCUCCCUCACGUGCCCGUGCUAUUAUGUUGGCAUGGGUUACAUCGUGUGUCUACUCCUGAUAUAUAUGAGAGGCCUAGGAUACAAAUGUCUUAUUAGGACACACCUCCUACCCUGUCUACACACAGUCCAAACCAAGUCCAACUGUAACCUACCUUGUAUAAUAAUAUUCGACAUAAUUCUAACAAACUCCACAUUGGCGAAUAUUCUCCACCACCUUGAAUUCGUCCGUGCGUCGAACCUCCAUGUACAUUGGACUUGAGAUACACCAUGAGCACCGCUGCUACUCCCAAACUCCAUGUGACUCCACCUGUAACUGCAAUCCCUUCUCGUCUUCAUCACAGUCAACACUCGAGCAAAAAUUAAGUUCCUUGUUACUCUACUUUGUGCUCCCAACUUCCGGAGUAUCCGCUCAACGCCAUCACACACUGAUCAUUAAUCUGCAUGAAAAUGAACAACUUGCAUAUUGGGUGUCACAUAUAAGAGUUAUCUGAACUCAACAUCACCGCUCUUUCAUGACCGUCUGUCUGAAACUUGAAGGAAUUUCACCGUCGCCCCGUGUCACUUUGAGUCAAAUUCACAGUUGUCUCACCCUUUUCCCCGGAUAGUCUCUGACAUGUCCCACAACUAUAGCACUCAACCUCCUUCUGUACUUGUCACCCGCACUUUGCCAUGUGCACCGAACACCACAGAAUAUACGGCCAUGUACUCUCUCCGCUUUUGACAAUUUCAGACUUUUCGUCACUUUCACAGAUUCUCCAUGGUCAACUCCUGUCCAUCUUCCGGCACCGAUAAACCCAGUCACCAACUUGAAUCUGGUACUCGUCAAUACUGCUUCAGCACCCAUGCACAAUUUGUCUGACCACCAGUGCCUUGGCCUGUCGCUGUGUCACCGUGCUUACCGCACGCCUCGCCGCUAUCACCGCGUCGAGCCUCUGCUGUCCUGGUCGAGUCUCCCGGGUAGCUAUCCCCCACUAUCUCAACUCCCACUGCAGAGAACCAUCGAUCAUCACCGACCGAUGCCGAGUAUCACGCCUCCAUCAGACCACUGGUACCCGGUCCGAUCCACGUGUCUCUCGCUAUCCCGCUGAAAUAGGCUUCGACUCUCCGAAUUCUUACGCCGUAACCCCUCCAUCAGCACAGAGUGAAGUCAUCCGUCUGACUCCAGCUCCACCUUCAACAUGACUCCAUGGUGGUUGUACGUGCCACCCUCACGCGCCCUGUCGACUCCAAGCUCUCAUGUGCACUGUCUUGAAUCAACCCUGCGCCAUAGUCUGUCGAAGCCGCACAAGCCCUCAAGCCUGCAUCACGUGUUUCCACGCCCCAAAAGCCGGUCACCAUCAGCAUCAUGCUCCUGUGUCGUUGUCGCUGAAAUCACCGCCGUCUUCUACUUUGACUGACAUUCCCGUCGAUCCAUCAGACUGUCCAGUCCAACCCAACCAAAAUUAUCCGACUGCAAUCAUGCUUCACCCUGCGUCGUGUCCGCCUGCACAUCUUCAUGCCUUGCUUAACGCCCUGUGUAUGCAUGAUCCUGCCACGACGAACUCCAGACUCCUCCGAGCCUUAUACGCACGUCGCCAUCCUCGCCACAUACUCUUUGAACCCUCUGAACAAUCUUAAUGGAAAAACUUCCAUGCAAAAUACCUAUUCCUUGCACCAUAAUUUUUUCAUAUCCAUUGCCCAGUACUUGUACGUGUACUCUAGCAGCAAGACAAAUUGUUUCAUCUCUCAACUGCCCCCGUACGCAAUCAAGUUCCGUAUGCAUGUGUCGACAGGCACUAAAGCCUUCUUUUUUUUAACCACAAAUCUCACGAACCAGCCUCGCCACGAUGCACCCUCGACCUGCAACUUGCACGCCAGCCUCUACCCAACUCGCACACGCAUACGGGCCUCUCGCGCAGCAACCCACACGACCUCGCCUAGGCCUGUUGCCGGGCUGCAACGAGCCUAGCUCCUCCAUGUCUGGGCCACCUUGGACGCCACCUAGGCCACGCGCCUGGCUCUGACUUGCCGUUCGCUCGACCCUACACGACGCUUGCGUCAGCCCCUGUCAUCUGCCAGCGAGCCCUCGCCAGCCGCCGCAUCGCGUUAUGCCCGAAACCAAUCUGACGAUCACCAAAGUCGCCCAUAACCUGCUGCCUUUCGCUGAUUCCGUCUGCUUUCCGAUUGCUCUCCUCUAGAUUAACAACCAGCGCUCUUCUCGAACCUUGCUCAUGAUACCACUUGUUAGAAUAAUUUGAGGCACUCCGUCUUCUAUCGAGGACCAAGCAAUCACACAAGCACGACACCGAGAUUUGUUAACGAGGUUCACCAUCAUGGUUACAUCCCCGGGGCCUGACUACGGGCGCUCCUCCCCGUGACACCGUCACAAUACCGCACCACGGCCGCCCGGGCGCCGGCACACGCCGCCGGCUCCCCCGCGUGCCCGUGCUACUAUGUUGGCAUCGUGUGCCUACCCCUGAUAUAUAUGAGAGGCCUAGGAUACAAGUGUCCUAUUAGGACACAACUCCUACCCUGGCUACACACAGUCCAAAUCAAGUCCAACUAUAACCUACCUUGUACAAUAAUAUUCGACAUAAUUCGAACAACAUAGAGCCAAGAUUUCAUUUCAAAAAGACAGAGAGCCAAGAGUUGACAUGUUCUGUGGCCCUCAUGGACCGCCAUCUUGGAGCGCAACUCUGUCAACUUGUCUCUGAUGAAAAUAACCCUGUUGAUUUCUACGUGUUCGCAAGGAUGAGAAAUUACUAGGUAUCACAAGGCAAAAUACCAAGCAAUGAUGCAUGUUGGAUGAUAUUCAGCGAACCUACCGGUUAGAAAGAAGCUGCAGGUUAGGUAGGCCAACGGCACGCAUGUCAUGACGUCAGUUACGGAGUCGGUCAGAAGUCAAGCGGGAGACUUUCUGGGGAGAAGCUGGCCGGUCUGAUAGGCCACCGGCGGCCACCCGGUGAUGGAGCAUCUGCCGGUGUGGGCAAUGUCGAUGGGGAGGCCGCGAUAUGUGGGCCAAUUUCAAAGGGCGUGUUUGGUAUGCGGUGCGGGAGCAUCAUCAGUUGAUGGAGUGAGUCUUGAGAUCACUCAUUAUCUACUAGGUUGGUGCAGGGACACCAUUAGAUUAUUCAUGGGACUGAAAUCAUACAGUUUUCGUCGUGUUUUGGAAGUUCUUAGAGCUAAGGUUGUAGGCUACGAAGAGAGUUAAAUUCUGUAGAGACCGACAGCUGGACACGUCCCCCCUGAUUCCCAUUGAAUUUGGAAUUUCAUAUUGAAUGUGUUACAAAAAUAAUCAUCCCCUAUUAGAUUGCUAUGUUCCAAACAAAGUAGCUUCCUUUCGGCAGUACUCCACAGUUUCUAUCACAGUUCGGUAAAAAAAACUAAAGAUUUUACUGAGCAUACAUUUAUUUAUAGGUUCCCAUAGUAGCACUUAAAAUACAUACCACAUGUAUAAUAUUUGCCUGUGAAAUUUUUACAACAAUUUAUCGACUAGGAUUCUACAAACAUCGCAAACUUUGAAGAAAACUUAAUUGUUUGCUGUCAAAGUCCAACCAUUGCAAAUCGGAAAUAGUCUUUGAACCAUGCAAGCAAAAGGCUACGAUAGGAACCAUCUGCUUUAAGAUUAGCAGAACCGGGUGACAAAGCAUGUUAGAGGGGGGAGAUGUACUGAAAAAAGGUUAGAGGGAAUUUGUGCCAAACCUCACAUUUGGGGCAUUAAACGGACUUGUCUCGGAAAUGGAGCACACAAAUUGUUUCUUAUAAGUACUGAAAAUUAAUUGCCCUCUCUUUUUAUUCAUAAACAAAAUAUCAUGCUGUGUUGUCAAUUGGCCACACAACAUUUUGACAAAAUCUCCAAACACACGUAAAAAACUGCAAAAUAUAGAAUAAACUUCUUAACCACACAUGUAUUUGGCAUCACAAGUUUAAAUUAACGUCACUUGCCAUGCCCAUCUAAAUGCUGUAAACAAAAAGAAAACAUUUGCCUUCAAUGUUUUCACAUUUUAUAUUUGAACGUGGUGUCCUUUUUAUGGUACCAAUUUCUUUUUGUACUUGCGACAUUUUUCAUACUUUGCGUAACAAGUCUGAAUGAUGAUUAGUUAUGCUACAAUUAUGUGUGACAUGUUGGCACACUGAUUUUUGUGAUUUCUUAUUGUUAGUGAGUUGUUUGAAUUAUUAUUUUUGAGCGCUAGUGAGUUGUUUGAUUUUUUUUAGGCGCGUGAGUUUGAUGGCAAUACGAUUUUCCCGUGACAGUCUUGGGCCUAGAUAAUCAAAAUUGAGCAGCACGCAACAGACCAUUGUCCUUUUUGGGCUGGCCUCGAAGGGCUCUUAGAUUUUGUGUUUUUUUCUUCUCUACCAUAUCUUUCAGUUUUCUUUCUGUGUUUUUUCUUUUUUUUUUCUUUUUUGAUGAAGUUUGAUAGGAUAAGUCAGAUUGAAGCCACUUUUAGGGGCACCUCUCAUGCCGAUGCGGUUCAUGCUCAAGCGGCAAAAUCAUUGAGGUCAAAAUCAUGAUUAUUCAUCAUGAAGACCUAGUAGAUAAUAAUUGGACUUCCCGCAUGUCUGCUUUGCUCCUCCCGAGAGUUGUUUCCCUUUUAUAUUGUUCUCCAUUUUUUCUCCUUCUGUUUUUGGUUUUCUAGUUCAUGAACCUUUUUUAGAAAAUUCUCGAAUACUUGUGAAAUUUGCCCGUUUAGUAAGCUCACAAUCAUUUUCUAAAAUUUUGAUUUUAUUUUAAAUUUAUGAACAUUUUUAAAAUUUAUGAACAUUAGCGAACGGGCACACGUUUUCCUUUUCUCACCGAAGAGCGUAGCUGCGAGAGAGCUAUUCUUGUAGGGACGCGACGAUACAGAGGGACGUGAAGGGAGAGACGUGUCAGUUGCCUGUUGACAACGGCAUGGCAGUUAACAAGGGGAGAUUCCCUUCCAAUUAAACAUGUGUGUUUAAUUCUGACAGGCUAGUAACCCCCGCACUGAGCUACUCUUGGCUUGGCUUUGCCUCCCAAAAAUAAAAAGAAACUCGUGGCGAAUCGAAAGCGAACAGGCGCGCCUUGCUGUUCGGUCACGCACAGUAUGGAAUCGAUCGAUGGUGUCGUCUCCACACUCGGCUACCCGGGCGGACGACGCUCGCUUCCUCCGGCGAUGGAGAUCGCGUCCAGCGGCUAACUAGUCGUCGACGCAUCAGUUCCUCGACAUUGGCGCGCUGUUUUUCGUUUUCCCUUUUCCGGCGGGAGCAGAGCAGAGACGGCAGCACGACGAACGUCGCUCGAUCGGCCAGCAUCAUCGCUCCUCACCCAACAUCUCGUGAUUCUCGACGCGUUGGUUUGGUUGGUCUUAAAUCAAUUAUUACUACUCUGUAUUUUUUGACGCGUAGUAAAUCACUCUGCCUCUGUCUCUGUUCUAGCCUGGCACUGGCAGCCGUGUGGUCGCCGCGCCCGCGCCCGCGCGCUGCUCUGUUCUAGCAGUCACCAUGCAUCGCGCCGGUCGGUCGGUAAAAUUCGGUUCGUUUCAAAAAGGAGACUGAUAGGUAUUGGCCCAACGUUGGCCCAGUAUAUAUAUACGCCGAAGAGAGAGAUAAAAACCUCACUAGGGUUCGUCCGUCCCUUGUCAGAGCUCAGGGCUCGGCCGCCGCGCGCCCUAUGCUUCUCUUCUCCGCAAAGCCAGCCAGCCAUGACCCCCCUUCUCCUCCCCCUCCGGUAAGGUACGUACGCGCGUUCCAGUCCAUCCUGGAUUCGACUCUUUCUAAGACGGCGGUGAAUCUGAAUGAAUUUCAGGGGCCCGGGUCAGUAGCGCGCCGGAUCUUUAAAUUCCCGCGGGAGGACUCAUGUGCCGCACCUUCCAGUUCACGCCGGAUUCGACUCCGUUUAUAUACCUCUCUCUAUAUAACGCUGGGGUGAAUUUUUGAAUUGAAUUUCAGGGCCUGUCCGUCCGCAUUUCUUUCUUCUUCAUCAUCAUGGGAGUAAUGCUGCUUAUCAAAUUAUUUAUCCUGAAAUCUAAAAAGUGGCCGCGCACUUUUUGGUCGAACCGAGCGGCCGGCUCUCACAACGCAUGCAUGUGGUAAUUUAUUUGUCUGCUAGUGCAUGUAGCCGUGGCAUUAAAUACGUUCACACUGCUCCUUUAGUUUAAGAAAGACAGAUCCAUCUGCAUUUGUUUCGGGUUUUUAAAAAUUCAAAAAGCUAUAUCUUUCAAACCGCGCGUCGGAAUUCAAAUCUAUUUUCACCAUUGAAAUCCUCGCGACGAGAUCUUUGAAACUAGAUCCCGCAUGGGUAUAUUUUGACGAAUUUUUUUCGAUGCCAACUUUGAAGCUAUAUAGUGCAACUCUAUUACUGCAUUGUGCAACUUUAUUACUACAUCGUGCAACUUUUUUCCAAAACUAAUGUUUGGAGUUGUGCCUUCGUAUGAGGUUACAACCUAGCAACCACGACAACUUUGAUGUGCGACUAGUCUAUUGCCUCGACGAAAGUCGAUGUGCAACCUCCUUUUGUAAUGUAGUCUAGUCGCACACGCAUUGAUGUUUAGUUGGCUUGUAAUGUAGUCUAGUUGCACAUACAUUGAUAUUAAGUUGGCUUGUAAUGUAGUCUAGUUGCACACACAUUGAUGUUUAGUUGGCAGAAAGACUAAUUGCACACGCAUAUGCUUAGUUGACUUGUAAUUUAGUCUAGUUGCACACACACUGAUGUUUAGUUGGCAGGACACUAGUUGCACACACAUAUGCUCAGUUGGCGUGGCAAUCUAGUCUAGUUGCACACACAUUGAUGUUUAGUUGGCAGGACUUUUUUGGCACACACACAUAUGCUCAGUUGGCGCGGCAAUCUAGUCUAGUUGCACACACAUUGAUGUUUAGUUGGCAGGAUGACUAGUUCGUCGAAACAUCCCCAUGCGGGAUAUAGUUUUGAAGAGCACGUUGCGAGGAUUCCAGCGGUGAAAACGGAUCUUAAUUCCGACGCGCGGUUUGGAAAAUAUAGCUUUUUAAAAAUUUGAAAACCGAAACAAAUGCAUAUGUGAUCUAUUUUUUCCAACUGAUUGUGACCGAUGUGAAUGUAUUAAAUGCUAAAAGAUACAUGCGCUAGCGGACAAAAAUUACACGCAUGCAUGUUUAUGCAGAGCAGACGCUAGCGGAUAAAAGAAUUUUUAUUUUAGGCCGGCCGCUCGCGCAUGCCAGCGAGCAGCCGGCCGCUAUGUAGACUCGUCCAUUAUUUAUAUGACCGGAUCAAUAACACAGCAGCACAAGUAGAGGAUUCCACCUACGGAGUGCAAGCUAACUCGGUUUUACUCCGGUGUAUGGAUAACUUAUAAUUUAUUUAUUUUUUAUUUGCAAAAAAAAACUUAUAAUUUUUUUGGAAUAAUAAUAAGAGUAAUAAUCGGCGAGCUCGUGUAGCUGCAGUCGGAUUAGGACCCUCCCUCCCUUUCCGACUGGGAGGGGGCUUUAAUUGCUGCUCCCGGUGCAGCGCUAGUCAUUAUUUUAUAAAUAGUGGCAGAAUUAGGACCAGGAUUGGCCUGUGAUAAUCAAGCCUCCACGCUCGCCUCAAAGAUUCAUUCCAUUCAGACCGAACCACCGAAAUAGUGCUACCCACAGCUCCAAUGGAGCUGAAUAAUAGCGAUAACAACGACGGUUCCCUCAGCCAAGUAAGUUCCCUCUCUUCUUGAUCGCCAUGCCUCUUUGUUCUCAAUCUAACACUGUAAACUCUUAACAGUUAUUGUAGCUAGCAUGCCAUGUAAAUGUUGACUGUUUUAUCCUUUAAGUUGUUUGCCUAGCGUGCUAUGAGCCAAAUUACCUAUAUCACGUGGUUUUGACAGACUGAAAUACCUCUGAAUAAUCAGAGCCAAAAACUAUGGCCAGAUUUGGGUUCAAAGUUUCGCCAUGCCGCGGUGUCUUCGUUUUGUUUUUGGCCCCCUUCAACAUGCACUAGUAGAAAAAGGGUCAAAUGUGAGACCAGGGCCAAGUCUUGAGAUUUCGGGGGCCCGGGGCGAAAGUAGAACUGAGGGCCCCCUAAUAUAGACAUCGAAUCGAAAUAUAUAGUAUGUAUAUUUGAUGUCCCUUCAUUUCGCUAUCAAGAUUAUUUCAAAUUCUUAUAUCACAAAUAUUCAUAAUAUUUUUUUAUAAAUGCUACUAAAUCUAAGCAAAUAAAUUAAAUAUGGACUCAUGAUCACUCAAAUAAUUUCAAAUGUCUCGACUUCGGCAGCAUAUCUUCCAUAGGGCCUUCAUCCUCUUGAUUAACAAUAGUUUGCUUUUCCACAGCAAAUACCACUGCCUCAUUCAGAUCACCUGAAUCGCUCAUAUUCCUCUUGAAAACAAUAUUAGCGGAAUAUAUAUAUAUAUAUAUAUAUAUAUAUAUGCAAUUUGAUCAACUCAUCUCUAUAUAUGAAGUAAACAAUUAGUACAUGUAAACCACAACAACGCCUGAUAAUGCCCUUUCACAGCANNNNNNNNNNNNNNNNNNNNNNNNNNNNNNNNNNNNNNNNNNNNNNNNNNNNNNNNNNNNNNNNNNNNNNNNNNNNNNNNNNNNNNNNNNNNNNNNNNNNNNNNNNNNNNNNNNNNNNNNNNNNNNNNNNNNNNNNNNNNNNNNNNNNNNNNNNNNNNNNNNNNNNNNNNNNNNNNNNNNNNNNNNNNNNNNNNNNNNNNNNNNNNNNNNNNNNNNNNNNNNNNNNNNNNNNNNNNNNNNNNNNNNNNNNNNNNNNNNNNNNNNNNNNNNNNNNNNNNNNNNNNNNNCCUCAUCUGGCGUACGUGAGGACGGGGGAUGUGGCGAGGUUGUCUAGGCUCCGCUGCGCCGAUCGGCGUCGUGGCCUCACUGGGCGAUGAGGACGAGGUACAGGCACACAGCCGGCAACCACGCAGAUGAUUAAUUGAGCAGACUGUAGGAGAUGAGGAGAAAAUUGACACCUGGCAAUAGCGUCGUGCGUGCGCCGCCGCAUUUGUUUGCUUGAAUCGCCGAUCAACCGAUGCGCCGGUAACACCUCGAUCCGUUCGUGGUGCGUGGAUAUGCAUUUUUUUUCCUUUUGAGGGACGUGGAUAUGCGUUACUAACAGCCCUGCUAAUUACUACUUGGGCUAGGCCCACUCAUUUCCUAAGCUGUGAAGAGUACGCUGCCCCGCUGGAGAAGGAAGGUGUGUGCGCCCCUGAAGUUUCGCCCCUAGUUACAGACUUCCCUGAAUUCCCCGACGGAUACCUGCGUACGUACCUCGGUACCUGGGCGGGGGGCCCUCGAGUUUGGGGGCCCGGGGCGGCCGCCCCCCUGCCCCUCCCCAAGGCCGGCCCUGUGUGAGACACAUUAGCCGGUUCUAACGGCCAGGCGGGAGGAGAUCUUUAGUACCGGUUCGUGGCGAACCUUUAGCACCGGUUCGUACCACGAACCGGUACUAAUGAGAGUAGUGGCAGGAUGUUGUCAGAGUGGGGCCCCUCCAGCACCUUUAGUAUCGCUUUGUGCCACGAACCGGUACUAAAGGUCGUCUUAUAUAAACCCUUCGUCCAUCAGCACUCUGUUCUUCCCCCUUUCCCCUCACCCUCUCCUCUGUUCUUCCCUUCUCCUCUCGAGUUCAUCACAAAAUUUGCCCCAAAUUUGUCAAGAUUUGCAGGCCCCCAUCCAUUCAAAUGAUCACAAAGAUUAGCAACUUUGUCCUUUCAUCUCCCAUUGCUAGAUUAGCUCUUGCAUUGGUUUAUAUAGUGAUUAAUUGUGGGUUUUAGUAAUUUGGGAGGAAUUAUAUGUGGUAGUAUUUGAUUUAUAUGCAAAUUGAGGUCAGAAUAACACUUAGUUUGCAUAUGUAGGUGUGGUUUACUUAGUGCCUUCUAAAUCUCCGUCGUAACCACCGUCGAUCGCCCGCACCGCCCGUCGCCGACACCACCUUAUGGUGAGCCUCUUGUUCAUGAAAUUUUAUAUAAAAAAUUGAUGUUUGUGUGAUUUCGAUAUAUAGUUACUCGUAUAAUUAUCUUACCCGUAUGUUGUUUGUUAUACAUAGUGCCAUGGUUUUGAUAUCCGUCCCCGUCGGCCCUCGUCCUUGUUAUGAUUUAGAUGUGGUAUAUUUUCUUUUAAAAUUAUUUGUUGCAUUCCGUGUUUAUGACAAAUUAUGCCCAUCAAGCUGACAUAGAUAUUUGUAUGUAGAAGGUAGUUGAACAGGAAAUUCCAACCGACCCUAUUAUCGAGAGGCUAAAUUUAGUUGAAAGAGAAAACGAGGAUUUGAAAGAAAAAUUGAAAAGAAUUAAGGGGGAGAAGAUGGAAUUGGAGUUGCAUGUUGCUGAUGUCGUCGAUGAUCACAAGAUUAAGAUGGAGAAAAUGCGCUUGAAGAUUAGAAAGAUUAGAAAAUAUGCCAUUCAUAGUGAGGCUUGGUAUUAUUAUGCCGUUGGAUCAAUUGUUACCUUAGUUGCGAUCUUGAUCGCAUUUGUUGUUGCAUUUAAAUUCUUUAGCUAGAGAGUUAUUUGUUUGUUGCAUUUAAGUGUUGUAUGAACUUUAUGUAUUGUAUUAAUUUGGUGUUUUCGGUGUUGUGUAUUGAAGAUGAGCCGGCAAUGGAUGUACGAUGACCGAUGCUCUCCCGAGUUCAUUAAUGGCGUGCAUACUUUUCUGCUUGCGGCUGAGGCAAACAAGCGGGCGGAUGGUUUUAUGCCUUGUCCAUGUGCUGGCUGUAAGAAUGAUCACAAUUACUCUACGUCAAGAACCAUUCACGUCCACCUGUUUGAGUCCGGUUUUAUGCCCCACUAUAAUGUUUGGACCAAGCAUGGAGAAAGAGGGGUUAUGAUGGAAGACAAUAAAGAAGAAGAGGACGACGACAGCUAUCCUGGCCAUGGGUUCCCUGAAUACAAUGAUACAACAAUGAGGGGAGAAGCUGAGCCGGUAAUGCGGGAAGAAACUGAGCCGGCAAUGCGGGAAGAAGCUGAAGAAGAGGCAUCGGAUGAGCCCGUUGAUGAUCUAGGUCGGGCCAUUGCCGAUGCAAAGAGAAACUGCGCAACUGAUUUGGAGAAGAAGAAGUUGCAGCGCAUGUUAGAGGAUCACAAAAAAUUGUUGUACCCGAAUUGCGUAGGUGACAAGAAAAAGUUGGGCACCACACUGGAAUUGCUGCAAUGAAAGGCAGAGAAUGGUGUAUCUGACAAGGGAUUUGGAAAGUUGCUGGUAAUGAUAAAUAAUAUGCUUCCAAAGGACAACGAAUUGCCCGAGAGUACGUACAAAGCAAAGAAGGUUGUCUGCCCUUUAGAGUUAGAGGUGCAGAAGAUACAUGCAUGCCCUAAUGAUUGCAUCCUCUACCGCGGUGAGUACGAGGAUUUGAACGCUUGCCCGGUAUGCGGUGCAUUGCGCUAUAAGAUCAGCCGCGAUGACCCUGGUGAUGUCGAGGGCGAGCGCCCCAGGAAGAAGAUUCCUGCCAAGGUGAUGUGGUAUGCUCCUAUAAUACCACGGUUGAAACAUUUGUUCCAAAAUAAAGAGCAUGCCAAGGCGAUGCGAUGGCACAGAGAAGACCGUAAGAAAGACGGAUAGUUGAGAGUACCCGCUGACGGGUCGCAGUGGAGAAAAAUCGAGAGAAAGUACGAGAAGGAGUUUGCAGAUGACGCAAGGAACGUAUGGUUUGGUCUAAGCGCAGAUGGCAUCAAUCCUUUUGGGGAGCAGAGCAGCAACCAUAGCACCUGGCUUGUGACUAUGUUUGUAUAACCUUCCUUAUUGGUUGUGCAUGAAGCGGAAGUUCAUUAUGAUGCCAGUGCUCGUUCAAGGCCCUAAGCAACCCAACAACGAUAUUGAUCUGUACCUAAGGCCAUUAGUUGAAGAACUCUUACAGCUGUGGAAUGGAACAGGUGUACGUGCGUGGGAUGAGCACAUGGGGGAAGAAUUUGACCUAAAGGUGUUGCUGUUCGUGACCAUCAAUGAUUGGCCUGCUCUCAGUAACCUUUCAGGACAGACAAAUAAGAGAUACCGCGCAUGCACGUAUUGUUUGGACGAUACUGGCAGUAUAUAUUUAGCUAAUUGUAAGAAGAAUGUGUACCUGGGACAUAGUCGAUUUCUUCCGAGCAGGCAUGCCGUAAGAAAGAAAGGCAAGCAUUUUAAAGGUGAGGCGGAUCACCGGACGAAGCCUCGCCACCGUACUGGUGCUGAUGUAUAUGAUAUGGUCAAGGAUUUGAAGGUAGUCUUUGGAAAGGGUCCUGGCGGACAACCUGUUCCGAAUGACGCUGACGGACGCACACCCAUGUGGAAGAAGAAAUCUAUAUUUUGGGACCUGCCCUAUUGGAAAGACCUAGAGGUCAGCUCUGCAAUCGACGUGAUCCACGUGAUGAAGAAUCUUUGCGUGACCCUGCUUGGCUUCUUAUGCGUGUAUGGGAAGACAAAAUAUACACCUGAGGCAUGGGAGGACCAGCAACGUAUGCACGGAAAAGAUGGCAUACAUCAGGGUCAUGACAGCUACGCUCUUACCAAAGAAGAGAAGGAAAUCUUUUUUGAAUGCAUGCUCAGUAUUAAGGUACCGUCUGACUUCUUGUCGAAUAUAAAGGGAAUAAUAAACAUGGCAGAGAAAAAGUUCCAGAACCUAAAGUCUCAUGACUGCCACGUGAUUAUGACGCAACUGCUUCCGGUUGCAUUGAGGGGGCUUCUAUCGGAAAACGUUCGAUUAGCCAUUGUGAAGCUAUGUGCAUUCCUCAAUGCAAUCUCUCAGAAGGUAAUCGAUCCAGAAAUCAUACCAAGGUUAGAGAAUAAUUUGGUGCAAUGUCUUGUCAGUUUCGAGUUGGUGUUCCCACCAUCCUUCUUCAAUAUCAUAACACACGUCCUAGUUCACCUAUGCGAAGAGAUUAACGUUUUGGGUCCUGUAUUUCUACACAAUAUGUUCCCCUUUGAGAGAUUCAUGGGAGUCUUAAAGAAAUAUGUUCAUAACAGUGUUAGGCCAGAAGGAAGCAUCUCCAAGGGCCAUGAAAAUGAGGAGGUCAUUGAGUUUUGUAUUGACUUUAUUCCUGACCUUAAGCCGAUUGGUGUUCCUGAAUCGCGGCAUAAGGGCAGACUGGAUGGAAAAGGCACGCUAGGAGGGAAUCAAAUAAUAUGUAUGGACGGACAUUCUCUAACUGAAGCACACUACACAGUUCUACAGAAUUCCGCCUUGGUGGCUCCGUAUAUGGACGAACACAAGAAUUUUCUACGCUCCAAACACCCGGAGCGGUCUGAUGACUGGAUUACAUGUGAACAAAUCAGGAGUUUCGCCGGCUGGUUGCAGACACGUACCAUGCAUGACGCCUCUAUUGAAGAUGACAUGUACUCGCUGUCCCGGUUACCAUCUUCGAAUAUAAUGACUUUCAAAGGGUACGAGAUAAAUGGUAAUACAUUUUACAUGAUCGCCCAAGAUAAGAAGAGCACCAACCAAAAUAGUGGUGUCCGCUUUGAUGCAGAAACCAAGACAGGAAAGGAAACAUAUUAUGGCUAUAUAGAGGAGAUAUGGGAACUUGACUAUGGACGUGGUUUGAAGGUCCCUUUGUUUCCGUGUAAAUGGGUCAAUAUGACACGAGGCGGGGUAACGGAAGACCUGCAGUACGGAAUGACAACAGUGGAUCUCAACAAUCUUGCCUAUGCAGACGAACCAUUUGUCCUAGCUAAUGAUAUGACACAGGUUUUCUAUGUGAAGGAUAUGUCUACCAAGCCGAGAAAAAGAAAAGAUAAGGAAGCGAAUGCAUCAUACGAUGAGCCAAAGCGCCACAUAGUUCUUUCUGGGAAGAGAAACAUCGUGGGAGUGGAUGACAAGAUAGACAUGUCAGAGGAUUAUGAAAAGUUUGAUAAAAUUGCUCCAUUCACAGUGAAUAUUGACCCGAGCAUCCAGUUAAAUGAUGAAGAUUUUCCAUGGCUACGGCGCAAAGGGACACACGCGAAGAAAAAGUUUCACACCCAAAGAUCUGGGAUGUGAUCGACUUCACUAUCAUCACUUUCUUCUAUGUUUCACAUUCAGGAGGAAUCUCUGUAAUAGUUAGGGUAGUUAUGUGUUUUGGCAUUUGAAACGCGAAGAAAUUUUAUGUGCAAACAAAUUCUUUCAUGCAUUUACUGAUUUUUUUCAGUUAAAUAACCCUGAAAUUGAAAAGCAUUUCAAAUAAACUCAGAAAAGGUUGAAAGUUGGCAUAGUAUCAUAAUUUCACCCACAUAGCAUGUGCAAAAAAGUAGAGAGGGUUACCGCAAAAACUGGAUGCAUUUCAUGUACAAAAUGGACAAUCUCUUUUGAAGUAUCAAGGUUUCGGACGAAAACUCAUCCGUUACAAAGGCAUUUCAUUUUUUAAAUAAUCUAAGCAUUACCAAAUUGAAUAUAAUGAUAAAACACACUAAUAUUAAACAUAAGAAAAAAGAAUCACUGAAAAAAUCUAUUUUCAAAGUUAAGUUAUUCACAGACUAGUGAUUCACAAAAAAUUCAAAUAAUUCAAAAUAUAAACUAUUCAAAUUUGAAAAUUACCGGCACUAACAGAAAGUUUGUAAUUUUUUGUACCUAAAGCAAAAAUAUUCACAAAGAAACUCAAAAUACAGCAAAAACAACUAAAAAUAAAUAAAGCGGAAAAGAAAAAAAAUACUAAAUGAAAAAAAGUCCACCUACUGGGCCAUAGCGGCCUGCAUAUGACAAGAAAUCCAAAUUCUAGUUGGGCCAGGAUGCAGGCCCGCUAGCCCAGUAGGCCCAACAGGGCAUCGCAGCAGAGGUAGGCCCAGAAGGCCUGCUUUAGAGAGGAGCUCGAGACAACAGCGGCGGCGGGGCUUAUAAGCAGGUGCGAGUGCCCCUCGGCUAGCAAGGUGGGACUAAAGUUCUGCGCCUCUCGAUUGGCAGCGCACACCCUUUAGUACCGGGUCGUGGCUCCAACCGGUACUAAAGGGGGGGCCUUUAGUACCGGUUGGUGCCACGACCCGGUACUAAAGAGGGUGCGGUUCCCGCCGCUUCGCCUGGUCAAAACAGACCUUUAAUACCGGUUGGUGGCUCCAACCGGUACUAAAGGUGGGUUCUAUAUAAGAAAACACUUCAAAAAAAAAUUCAGUUUCUCAUCUCUCCCUCNNNNNNNNNNNNNNNNNNNNNNNNNNNNNNNNNNNNNNNNNNNNNNNNNNNNNNNNNNNNNNNNNNNNNNNNNNNNNNNNNNNNNNNNNNNNNNNNNNNNNNNNNNNNNNNNNNNNNNNNNNNNNNNNNNNNNNNNNNNNNNNNNNNNNNNNNNNNNNNNNNNNNNNNNNNNNNNNNNNNNNNNNNNNNNNNNNNNNNNNNNNNNNNNNNNNNNNNNNNNNNNNNNNNNNNNNNNNNNNNNNNNNNNNNNNNNNNNNNNNNNNNNNNNNNNNNNNNNNNNNNNNNNNNNNNNNNNNNNNNNNNNNNNNNNNNNNNNNNNNNNNNNNNNNNNNNNNNNNNNNNNNNNNNNNNNNNNNNNNNNNNNNNNNNNNNNNNNNNNNNNNNNNNNNNNNNNNNNNNNNNNNNNNNNNNNNNNNNNNNNNNNNNNNNNNNNNNNNNNNNNNNNNNNNNNNNNNNNNNNNNNNNNNNNNNNNNNNNNNNNNNNNNNNNNNNNNNNNNNNNNNNNNNNNNNNNNNNNNNNNNNNNNNNNNNNNNNNNNNNNNNNNNNNNNNNNNNNNNNNNNNNNNNNNNNNNNNNNNNNNNNNNNNNNNNNNNNNNNNNNNNAUCCCCGCCCGGCCCGUCCCUGUCCCUGUCGUCACCGCCCGUCUCCGUCCCCGUCGCCGCCCCCCGUCGCCGCGCCUCGCCGGUGAGCUCCAGCCCCGACCGCCAUGUCCACACACACACACACAUUGUUAUAGAAAUGUUAGCAAUUUUUCUGUUUUUUAGUUAUAGAAAUAUUAGAAAUGUUAGUUAUAUAGAAAUAUUUUUUAGUUAUAGUAAUAUUAGAAAUGUUAGUUAUAUACAAAUAUUAGAAAUGUUAGUUAUAUAGAAAUGUUAGUUAUAUACAAAUAUUAGAAAUGUUAGUUAUAUAGAAAUGUUAGUUAUAUUAGAAAUGUUAGUUAUAUAGAAAUAUUUUUUAGUUAUAGAAAUAUUAGAAAUGUUAGUUUUACUUAUAGAAAUAUUAGAAAUGUUAGUUUUAGUUAUAAAAUUUAGAAUUUGCAUAUAUGAAAUCACAAUCCAUCAUUUAAAAAAUGUUACUUUACUUUUGCGACAUAUAGUAUUUGUUGUCGACGAUGCCCGGCCCGCAUCCUCGCCAUCGACCAGUUCGCGACGACGUCCUGCUUCAGACGACCCAUGUCCGGGACUGGGCUCCGCCGGGCUGGCACUGGGAGGUGCUACCUUCAGGGGCGCGACGCUUGGUGAGGAACCCGGCCCCGGGUCCCGUCGUCGACCCUGAUCUCUUUUGGUGGUGUUCGCGUGGGCCACUUUCGGUGCGGAGGGAGCCGGCCCCGCCGGAGGUGGUACGUCGCCGUGUCAGAGAGGAAGACGAGCACGUCCAUCGCUACAUGGCUGCUAUGGACGUCAGGUUCUCCAAUACCUGGCAGGUUCUUUCGGGAGAUCACCCGAGCUAUGAUCCAAUGAUGAUUCCUUCACUUUGGUUGUCCAUCGCCCGCGCCUCAGGAACCGCGAGUGGCCUAGAUUACUCUCUAGUAUUCGAUCUUUAUUAGCUAGCUAACUAGUGAUGUAUUCGAUAUAUAAUAUUCGAGAUGAUUUAUUCGAGAUUAUAUAUAUUAUUCGAGACGAUGUAUUCGAGAUUAUAUCUAUUAUUCGAGACAACAUAUUCGAGAUUAUAUUCGAUGAUGCUUAUUAUGUACUAUGAUUGAUUCAGUUUUUCCUUAUUAAUUGAUUGCAUCCAUGCAUUGUAAUUUGAAUAUAUUUCUUUUGGAUUAGUUAAAUAAAACCUAUGGCGGACAAUACCGGCAGAGAGGGAGAAGAGGCCCUGUUCAAUAUCAUAUGCAAUCCUCGUGGGCCAGAUGAUGAUCAGAAUGAAGAAGAUUAUGAUGACUCCGAAUAUCUAAACAACACCGGGGAGAGUGAUAUGAUAUUUGAUCGCGACGACCGAAUUGAUGAAGUCAUGAACUAUGAACUUGACGAAAAAAAUGUUGAUCUUGAAACAACAAAUACCGGUGAGGUAUAUUUAUAUAAGGAGGCAUCUGGUGAUCAUGACAUGUUUUAAAUGACUUGAAGAUAUAUAUUAAUGAAUCGAUCUUUCUUCUUUCAGCCAUCCGGAUCGAGCAAAUCUUCAGGCAGCAGGACAGUACGAGGCCCGAACAAAAAGUUGAAGGAGGGCGUAAAGUACAAUAUCGAGGCCAUCAAACCUAAUGGCGAACCAUUAGCGCCUAAGAAGAUUGCGGACAAGUUCAUUCGUCAAUGCGGAGUUCUUGUGAAGGACCAACUCCCGAUCUCCCUUCAAGAAUGGAGAGAGCCAGCAAAGCCACAUCCAGAUCUUACUUUUGUCGAUGACAGACAAAAACUUCUGCUUUGGGAAACGCUCAUGGAACAUUUCACCCUACCAGAUCAUUUCACAGAUGCAGAUGUGGAGAAAGUCAAGGACGCUGCUCUUAGGAAGAUGGCGGUUGCAUUCAACAACCACAAGAAUCGUGUAUGGGACCACUACGUCAAGGGAGGAAAUAAGACUCCAGUAUUCAAGGGAACACUAGAGAAGCAAAGUGCUCAUUGGGAUGAUUUCAUGAAAUUCAAUGAAUCGAAAUUAUCUAAGGAACGGUCGAGAAUAAACAAGGUAAAUGCCGCAAAAAAGGAUAAGUUUCAUAAGCUGGGGCCAGGUGGCUACGCGGUGGCAAUGCCUAAGUGGGAUAAGUCUGAGAAAGAGAUGGAGGAUGCAGGUGUCACUCCAGAAACAUUGAGCUGGCCCCCCCAGGUGCAGGACUUGGUUCUAUGCGCAUGGGGGGGAGUUGGACCCGAAGACAGGUAAAGUUUCGAAGAAGACAUGUCUGGACGGAGCCGAAGAUAAGCUACUUGUUGCAAUAGAAGAGGCUCGAUCGGGGGUGUUCCAGCCCAACAGAGAGAACGACGAGCUUACGCGUGCCCUGGAAAAUCCUGAACACCCAGGAAGAACACGAGGCAAGGGCGCUAUUCCAAUGUAUGAGGGGUUUUCGGGCUAGAACACCGACUACAGAACUCGUGCGAGAAAGAAGAUUGCAGAGGAGAAGAAGAGGAAGAUGGAGGAGGAGCAGAGGAAGCUGGACUAUGAAUGCCUUCAAGGCCUAGAAUCAGCGCACACGGACUUGGCAGUCAAAUUCCAGUGGCAGCAGGAGCAAAUUGACUCACUUAGCCAGCAAAGGGGGUCUCAGCAGCUGCAGCAGCUAGCGGAUGAUCCAGCAUUGGGUAGCACCGUCCCAUCCAUGCCGAGAAACAAUGUGGGUUCCGCCCCGGGCGACGCAAUGCUGGAUAGAUACCCCGUGGAUGACAUCAUGGAGAACACUAACUGCGAGCUACACUUCAAAAUGAAGAACAUAUCCAUGAAGGUGGCGGACGCAGUUGCUUUUACAAAUCCCCCCGAGGCAACCUUCCAUUGCAACCCGAUUCCAGCGGGCUAUGCUCGUGUCUUGGUUGAUGAGGUGGUGGACCAAUAUUCGGGGCUAGAGCUUGACAUUCCUGGAGGUGACGAGGAGCACACACUGGGAGAGGCCAACCAUCGUAUCAUUCUAUGGAGAAAGGAUUGCAUCAUCUUUCGAAGGCCACCAACACCGCGUCAGCCGACUCCUCGUCGAAGUCCGCCACUGAGUCAGCAGACUCCCGCUCCUCCAAGUCCACCAACGCGUCAGGCCACUCCUCCUCCAAGUCCGGCUAAGCGCCAGGCCACUCCUCCUCCAAGUCCGGCAUAGCUUCAGGCCACUCCUCCUCCCCCAAGUUCGGCAAAGCGUCAGGCCACUCCUCCUCCAAGUCCGUCACAGCUUUAGGCCACUCCUCCUCCUCCAACUCAGCCACGUCAGCCGUCUUCGUUGCCUUAGCAAUCACGGAAGAGAGCCGCCUCAGCUAUGGUGCGUAGCGGUACAAGUCGAGGUAGUACUGGAGGUACAGGCGGAGGCAAGCGAUUUCAAUAUGGUCCAAGCAGCCUCGCGCCUCUUCCGCAGAGGCCUUACGACAAGUCCGAGGAGGAAAACGCAGCCAUAUCGAAGGCCGAGGUGGAAGCCCAUUUUGCACUGAAACCGCCACCACCGCCAAGGGAGAAAGUGCCUGAGGAAAAGAUUGACCACUUCAUUCGUAUGGCUAGACCACCAGCUCCCAAGCCUGUUGACACAGACUAUGAGCGCCACCUCAGGAAGUUAAAUCGAGCACGUCUACAGAAAGAGGCGAGCUCGAGCUCGAGCAAAUCAGCUGGCAAAAUGAGCGGUAAAACCGUUCCCCAGCUAGAAGAACAGACGGCGCAAUCAAUCCUCCCACUUGUUGUGCCAACAACACAUGAGAGUAGGCGCGCCCAAUAUUAUUGUGGGCAAACUGUUAACGUUCCCGGGCUGGGCGAUGUGGUAAUAACCGAGGAGCAUAUUGAGCAGGCUAAAAGGCUCAUGAUCACUGUUGGAUAACUCCUCGAUAUCGAGCCCAUGUCUCUGCUUAGAGAGGAGGAAAUAAAACACAAAUAUGUCCGGGGGCAACCUUUGGUUGAGCCAGACGAGGUCAAGAAGCUCCCAACAAGAAUGUAUGAAUUGCAUCAAUGGUACAUAGACAUUACCAAGAUUUCCAAUCGAGAGUCCCUCAUGGUGAAUGUCAAGAAGGAUCAUUACUUCCAUGAGAAAGAUGUGUCCGUUGAGUAUUCAGAACUAUUUCAGUUAUACAAUCAAGACGCACUCGACAAAUCUAUCGUCGGUUGCUAUUGUGUGUAGGUGAUUUCUUUCUGUAAUUUAAGUCUCAAGCUAGCUGUAGUGAUCAUUUUGAUCAAUCAUUACCUGUAAUUAUUCUCAUUAUAUUCUUUUCUGUGGUAUUAUACAGGAUGAAGAUGUAUGAAAUGAAAAAAAGGUGGACGCUAUGGCAUUGGGUUCAUUGACCCAAAUACCAUUAAUGAAUACACAUGGAAAUUAGAUGCAUAUUAUAAAAAAAGUGUAGAGGAAAGCAUGCUAGAGUUCUUCAAUCGCCUCAAAUACAAUGAAGAUAUACUACUUUCUUACAACUUCGAGUGAGUCACACUGUCUUGUACUACAAAUUCUGUUUUUGCCUACUAGCUAGCUACAUGUUUUUGCUUACAUAUGCCCGCUUAAUUAAGACAUACAAACGUGUGUGCAUGCAGAUUUCACUAGAUCUUGUUAAUCAUUAAAGUUGAUGAAGGAACAGUUGAAAUACUGGACUCACUACUUAAAAAAACAAGUGACUACACCAUCUUGUUUGGGAUAGUUAACAGGUAAUUUCAAUCAUUAUUAACUAUAUCUUGACCUAUUUAGUUCGUCAUUUCCUGAUAUGAACUAUUUAAUAACCCCUUUAUUCAUUUUCUUUGUCGGCGGGCAGGGCUUGGGCAAAGUUCAUCAGCGUCACUCCAGGCCAAUGGAAACGAAAAAUGAAAUGGUAUCGACCCAAGGUAAGUAAUUAAGUAGUAUUAGCUAGCUAGCUGCCAUCUCUUUAAUUAUCAUGUUUGAUUAAUUAUUAUCUGAUCAAAUUCCAUUCUCGUAAAGACCCUGAAGCACGCGCCGGGGAAUAAUCUGUGUGCAUACUACGUUUCCGAGAACAUUCGCAUGAUGGCGUCUGAAAGGAGCAGAUCUCAAAGACAGGACUGGGUACGUUUGUCAAAAUACUAUUCACAAUUUUUACACCAUUAUUGAUAUCUAGUCACACAACUAAUACCCAUGCAUAUUGAUCUCCUUCUUAACAGUUCAGAAAGGUGCGGGAGCAGCUCCUAGCAGAGGACCGCAUAGAAGCAAUUCAAGAGGAAAUAGCAGGAUUUUUGCUCGACCAGGUCAUAGAUCUCAAAGGAGAAUACUAUUACCCGCUACCGCCCCUAUGAACCACUUCCAAUUGUCAUCGUGCUCCGAAGGCACCAAUUAGGCUAAUGCCACUGGCUCCGAAGGCACCAAUUUGGAGAAAUUGUAUAUAGCUAGCUAAUUGUAUAUAUAUAUACAUGUGUGUGUAUAUGUGUGAAUUAAUGGUGGUUGUGAGACAUUCGAUGAUAUAUAUAUAUAUAUGAUCGGUUCUACUAGAAAUUCUAUUUAUGUAUAUGCAUAACGUGUACAAUAUGUAGUAUCGUAAAAUACCAGCAAACAAAAAAGAAUUAAAUAGAAAACACAAAAUUAAAUGAAAAAGAAAUCAUAAACCAAAAACCCUCCAGCCUUUUAAUACCGGUUGGUGUCACCAACCGUUACUAAAGGGCUCCCUGCCCCCGGAGCUGGCUCGUGCCACGUGGUUGCCCUUUAGCACCGAUUCGUGCUGAACCGGUACUAAAGGGGGGGGGGGGGGCUUUAGUGCCCACACUUUAGUGCCGGUUACCGAACCGGCACUAAAGGGCCUUACGAACCGGUGCUAUUGCCCGGUUCUACACUAGUGAUGUACAACUAUGAACCCGGACAUAAUGGUUUUUUGGACAUUUAGAUGAUUGUAUUGGAAGGAAAACAGGCGGCAAUGAUACGAAGAAAAACAUACACCGAUCUAAAGAGAUGUCUAUCUUUGUUCUCAAGCUCCAGUUUACAUCUUCCUGUUGUAGCCAAAGGUUGUGAUGGGAAUGAAUUUUCUUUUCUUUUUGUGAUGCAUACUUUCAUAAUGAAGUUUGGAACCGCCCAGGUGGAGGGCGACAAUGAGCAGGAUAUGUUUAUUAUGGCCAUGAAGGUUGUUCCUAGGACCAUCCACAGAAGACUGCACAUUGCUUACUUUAGAUGGGAGUGUAGCUGUGCAGCCUGGCAGAUUUAGCCAUCAGAUCGAUACUAAUCAACAGCGGUAGUUGUGUUUCCACCUUGGAAUUCAAAGUUUCAGAGUAGUAGAGAUAAUCAAACAAUUUACAUGCUACAGAGAUUGUAGUUCCAGUCACCACGUGUAACUAUUCUCCGUUUAGUUUUUUUUUAAAUAAAGUUAUGUGGCAGCUAAAUAAUGGAUACUUGAUUUAUGUUGCAGCAACUGGACGACCAAGAUAGGCUCAGCACUCUCACUGAUGAUAUUUUACUCUCCAUCUUGGGGAGAGUCAGUACACGUUUGGCUGCAAAGACAAGUGUGCUCUCUACACGGUGCAGGCAUCUUCACAGGUUGCUGCCUGAGCUCAGCAUCGAUGUAAAGGAUUUCCUAUCCGCUCCGUCUGCUGACCCAAUUGAGGCAAAUGACAUGGAGCAAGCUAUGGUGUCUUUGACCAAAGCAACCAGGUGUUUGUUGGAUAAACAACACAGAUAAUACACCAUCUCAAGUUUGCAGCUUAAUCUCUAUCUGUUCAACACUUCCUUUUGCGAAGUUGGCUCACUGAUAGGUGACGCAAUUGACAGUGGAUUGUUGAAAGAUUUGGAUCUCACCAUUCUUGAUGAGACGGAUCCUUUGGACUCUGUCGAGGAGGAUAUGCUGCAGCGAGGCCAAGAAAUCGAUGCUUUUUUCACUGCCUACCCUAGUGUGCUCCACUGCCUCACAAAGCUCUUUAUACAAAAUGCAGACUUUGAUAAAUUGGACAUGCACCAUAUCCUAUUUGACUGCUGCAAGCAACUGAAGCAUCUAGUCCUUUAUAAUUGUGAUACUGGUUCCCACUCCCACUUUAAGAUUGAUGCACCAAACUCAAAACUCCGUGCUCUUGAAAUCCACAAGUGUCGCUUUUUGAAAAUUGACUUGGUCUGCCUUCCCAAAUUGGAGAAGUUUGUGUGGAAUACUUGGAUAUGUCAGUAUGCCCCGGUGACCUUUGGUUUUGUCCCAUCUCUUGUGGAAUUAGAACUCUUAUGUGGUUCAAGUGACAAUAAACGUGAAUUUAGAUUAAGUGAGCUUCUACAUGGAAUAACAGGCAUACAUACUCUCACAUUGGAUUUCCAAGGAGAAAACGUAAGUACUAUUUUAUUUUUGCUAAAUUCUUUGCAACCAAAGUUGUACCAUGGAUGUUGUAUGAUAAGACAACAAACAUAGCUGUAAAUUAUCUGAUGAUCUCACUUUUAUGCUUGCAAACUAUUUAUCCUUCUUUUGUUUCUUUAUUGAUUUGAUCCUGUUAUCAGCUUUGGUUGCAACCUGAAAUGAUCCUGUUAUCAGCUUUGGUUGCAACCUGAAAUGGAGGAACUCCGCACCACAUUCAGCAAGCUAAGGAAGCUGUCUGUACGUGGUAUCUUUGUUGAAUUUGACAUUUUAUGGACAAUGGCGUUUCUUGUAGCAGCACCAUCUGUCAAAAUGUUAAAUAUUGAGGUGAUGUUUCUUUCCUUGUCCACUUGUGGAUCUUUAUUUUUUUACAAAUUUUAGCGGAAAGUUGUUUAAAACUCGAUCUGAUGACACAUGUAAUGGAUUGGUCACAAAUACAGGUAUGGGAACAUGUAUGUGAUGUGGGCGAGGAAGGACACGAUUCCCCCUGACAGAAGGACUCCUCAAUGGGAAAUGCGCUUGGAGCCUUGGACAGCAGCUUUGAGAACAGGCUUCUGAAAGAGUUAGACUUCGCUGGAUUUAAAUCACUAGAACAACAGUUUAUAUAUAUAUAAGAUCCAUGUUGGAGCGAUCUCCCAAUUUGCAGAAGAUAGUUCUGAGAGGAGACGAGGAAUGCGAUUACUGCAACGCCCUUAAGGCAUCAUCGCCCCGUCCUUCGAAAUUUCCAAAGAAAAAAGAUGAGCAAGAAAUGGUGGUUAAGCUGAUUAAAGAUGACGUCUUCUGCCCAGAGAUAAUUUUUGACGAAUUCUGUCCAUCUUUGAGAAUGUGAUUUGUGUGUGUUUCAAACUUUUUGUGUUGGUAUUCAAAAAAAAUGUUUACAUUCUCUUAUGUAUGUGGUAUAAUUUCUGUGUGUUUUCAUAGUAAAAAUUUUAGCAUAAAAUUUGAGGAGAGAGUAGCAGCUGGUGGCAUGCAGUUGUGCUAACGAGAGAUGAAUAAAAGUGCAGAAGUUGAUUCGGUUGCUGGUUUAUUUGAUUGGUUACUGUUCAACUGGUCUCUACUUUGGAUAACAAAAACUCUCUUGAUUUAGUUGGUUCAUUUCUCAGUAGAAAAAUUACUCUGAAAUUUAUCCGUGUUUUGUUGGAUCACGAGGAAUGCCUCCAUCCAGCCAUUGCCUUGCACAUUUCCUCAUUCAAAAAGAAGCACACAUUUCUAAUGUGAACAACCCAUGAAUGCAAACCAUUUCCUCAUUCAAAAAGCAGUAAAAAUUCCUAUUAAGAACAGCCAAUGAAUCAUCUUUCCUCGUUCAAAAAGUAGUAAAAAAUCCUAAUAAGAACAGCCAAUGAAUCAUUUCCUCAUUCAAAAAGUAGUACACAUUUCUAAUAAGAACAGCCAAUGAAUGCAAAUUAUCCUGACGAUCAGAAGUAAUAUGUUCUCAUCCAUUGAAUGCUUUCAAGAGGUGUAGGCCAAACAAAUACGACAAUUAUUAAACAGUACGUACGACAAGUAUUCAACAAUAUAUACGUUACAACUGGAUAUCAGUCAGUUAGACAAACACAGGAACAUUCAGAGAAACGGAUCGAGCACUUGUAAUGCAAGAAUAUCAUAUAUAGUUCACUAACAAAACAAAUGAAUCCAGGUUUUGAUUGGUCCUUCAGAUGACAAGAUACAAAACGCAACAAAGAGACAAAUGCGCGAGAAAUGGCGCCUACGAAUAGUGUAAGAAAAAACAGGUGCCUACGAACAGUCAUUUAUGCAAGAGAUAACGCAGCUACAUACACCUGCCUUCGCUGCACCAACGUCGCAUCUCCAUACAACAUUUCUUUCCCCAUACUUUCAUUUGGGUACUACUUAUGUUUAUGAGAUUGUAAACUGAACAUAUAAAAUGAUUCCUAAAAGCCAUGAACAUACUUUCAUGGGCAGGAUAUCUCCAACAAGAUUUAUGCGGACAUGGGCAACAACUGCACACUACAGACGCAACCCAAAAUGCACUAACAUAUAAUAAAAAUCCCUAGAGAGUAGAGACACAAUCACAUUGGCAGUGGUGUAUUUGUUCAUGUGCUAGCUCUACGUACCAGGAAAAGCACAAGCAGCCUGAUAGCUAGAGAUGACAGAAUAUAGAAGAUCAGGAUAUAUAUAUAACAAGCAAAGGCUUCCACGGUCCAAUUCCAAGUCCAAAAUGUGGCCAUAUUUGCAGAAAUUGAAGAGCGCAGAUGGUUAAAACAAAGCAGCUGCAUUGUGAACCACGGUUCAGUUUACCAAGCUGCCAACAUUCGAACAGAUCUACAGAUAUACUAGGAGCAAUCAAGCUUACGGAGCUUCAAUCAACAGUUCACACAACUAGUACUAUGCGAAAUCUAGAGAAACACAUUUAACUACUCCAGCAAUUAAACCGAACAGAGAGAGGUAAACCCAUGAGAUGAUCUGCCGGUUUCACUCCUGUGUUAGGUUGAUCUCUAUCCCGUUCGAACCCAACGGGUCGAACGGGCCCUUGACUCGCGCCCUGAUCGGGGGCGCCCAACCAAACCAUGGUUGGUGGGCCCAUGUGACCCGCGCUAUAUAAACAGAGGUGGGGGACGGGGCACGACUUACGAGGUUAAUCGCUGCCACAAACCCCACCGACAAUCCCUUCCGAUCUAGGGUUAGCGCAGCGCUCACGGGAAGCUCCACCACCGCCGCCAUCUCUCUGCCAUCACCGGCCCCUACUUCACCAUGGCCGGCGCUGGAUCGAGUUCGUCUGCACCAGCAGAAGGUAGGUGUACCGAAAAGAUCUAGCCUACACGAUCCAAGUGGGUCUAUCAAUGGUAUCAGGCCAUCUUGGUUAGAUGAUUUUCGGUAAAAAGAUAAAACAGAGAAAGAAAAAGAGAUCCCCUCCCCAAGAACCCUAAUCAGAGGGCAAAGGAAAGUUCACCGGCAGAGGGCCUCGGGCCUCGCCGGCAAAGUGCGCCGCCACUUCGGCCGCGCCGUUCCUCUCGAUCCCCACACGCAUCGGCAAGCGGAGGUGCGGGGAAGAAGAACACGGCCUCCCAAGGGGGCAAAAGGGCACCACCACCGCACUGCUUGACGGCGGCGUGCUCUCCUUCUGGAGCUCGCGCGCACCGGCAAGGGGGGCGGGGGAGGCGCCGUUGUAUCUCUCGCACAGAGGCGCAGAGCAGGGCUCUGUUGGCGUCUCUGAUCUCUCUCUCUCUCUCUCUCUCUCACUGGUUUCGGUGAAUAGAGGGAGGAAGGAAACAGAAGUGGGGAAAGGAAAGGAGCUCGCGUGUCACGGCGGUUCGUCGCCGGCGGCCGGCAAGGCCCGAAAUCUUGCUGCGGGACAGAGACGGCGCGGGGGGAAAGAGCGGGAGCAGCUAGGCCUCGUUCUCCCUGCCGCAGUAGGUGGAAAGGAUGGGAAGGAGAGGCUCGCGCGGCGCGGUGGCAUCCAUCGCCGGCGCCGGCGGCCGGAGCGCAGCAGUUCUUCUCUGCCUCGCCGCUGAGAGAAAAAGGAAUGAGCGAGGGGGAGGGGGAAUGCACUAGGGUUUGCCCGAGCGGCGCGGCUGGAUCGGUUUUGACCGGGCGAGAUCGCCGCUAGAUCGUUGGAUCGCGUUCGACGGUCGCGAUCAAAACCCUAGCCCCAGCGGGCCUGUUGGUCCGAAAGAGGAGGCGCGAGCUGGGCCGAGGCCGCCAGUUGCGGGCGCCGCCGUGCGAGCUGGGCCGAGGCCGGCCGUGCAGCAGUUUCCCUUCUUUUUUGUUUUUUAAUAGUUCUAGUCCAGUUUCUGGGCAGAUUCUAAAUAGUUUUUCUAUGCAAUUUUUCCAACGAAAAAUGUGUUUAGAAAAUAAAAAAGAUAUACAAUUUUUCUUUCUGCAAAGAAAAAAAAGUAGAAAAGUUUCUGGAAAUAGAAAAGUAAAAUUUCAGAAAAAGAAAAGUUCAUGAAUUUUAUAAAGGACAUAAGAAAGUUCAUGAAUUUUGUUUUAGUAAAAUAAAAGUUUCUAUAAAAUGUAAAAAGUUCAUGAUUUUUUUAUUCAUGUUUUUCCGCUGUGUGAAUUUUCUAAUAGUGCUCUUUUACAAAGAAAAUAAAAGUUUAGAUAGAAUUAUGUUUUUAAGAGCAUGUUAAAGUGAUUAUUAGAAUGAAUAUGAUUAUGUUAUGUUUAUGACCAACGUUAUUAAUAACAUGAUCAUGUUUUAUUAUUGAAAUUUAAAGGUGCAUUUAUUUCUAAUUUUUGCCCAACGGUAAAAUAGAUUUAAUUGCAUAGACAAUUAUAUGUUUAAUUUGACCAACGUUAGAUUAAUGCAUAUGAUUGUUAUAUUGAUGUCACUUAAAUUGUGAUUUCAGAAGGCUUUCACUUGAUGAGUUGCCUAAAAGAAGUUCCGACACUCAGAGGUGACAAUCACACUGAGUGGAGGAAGAAAGUUGAACUGGCAUUUGUCUGUGCUGAUCUGGACUGGGUUCUGGAUGAACCAUAGCCAGUCAGACCUACAGAGCCAGUAAGAGAGACCACUGAUGAUGAUGCUGCAUGCGCUAAAAAGAGGGGGGUUAUGCUCCUUUGGAGAUGUCCUACAUCAUAGAAAACCAAAAGUGGGUCAAUGCAAACAAAAAAUGCAUGGUCUUUAUAAAGAAUACAAUUGAGAGCAUCAUUAUGGGCUCCAUUGCAGAGUGCACUUCCGCAGGGGAGUAGCUCAAAAAGAUAAAAAAGCCAGUUCACUGGCUCUUCAAAGAUAUAUGCCACCCAGGUGUUAAAACAACUGGUGACACACUAGUAGAAAACGGGCCUAUUGUCCCGGUUCGUAAGGGUCUUUUGUCCCGGUUCCUGAACCGGGACUAAAGGGUCGUUACUAAUGCCCUGUCCCUUUAGUCCCGGUUCAGUCCAGAACCGGGACAGAUAGGCCUCCANNNNNNNNNNNNNNNNNNNNNNNNNNNNNNNNNNNNNNNNNNNNNNNNNNNNNNNNNNNNNNNNNNNNNNNNNNNNNNNNNNNNNNNNNNNNNNNNNNNNNNNNNNNNNNNNNNNNNNNNNNNNNNNNNNNNNNNNNNNNNNNNNNNNNNNNNNNNNNNNNNNNNNNNNNNNNNNNNNNNNNNNNNNNNNNNNNNNNNNNNNNNNNNNNNNNNNNGCUGUGCGCGGAGCCCAGGCAGGAGGGCCUUCUGUGGCUGGGUUUUUUUUUUGAAAGAGGGGGGGGGGGGUUUGGGGGUUUUGGGGGGGGUUAAUUUAGGUGUUUCAUAUAUUGUGUUAGCUAGUUAUAAUUAAUAGAGAGAAGUGUCCUCUCUUAUGUCCGUGCUUGGUCGACGCUACGUACUAUAUAUACGUAUAGAGAGGACUAGACAUGCUAGCUAACUAGUAAGCAAACGAAGGAAACAGAAGAUCAUCAUGAACAUAUAUGCAUACAGAGAGAAGUGAUAUCGACCACCUCUCCUUCUCCGAGAGAUUGUUCGAACAACAAGUUCUCGUAUAUCUAUCCGACACUAUCGGCUACAUAUAUACAAUAAUUAUCUCUCAAAUAUAAUCUCCUAACAUACGGACGCAUGGUCCACAUAGUAUUCUCGGUCUUCAGCGAUCACGUGUUUAAGAAAUAAUGCCGCCAAUUCCUCUUGAAUUACUCGCAUGCGAGCUAGUGCUAGGAGUUUAUCCCGCUUUCGAAACAUCUAAUUUGAAGAAGGGGGUCAAUACAUAUAUAUAUGAAUGAAUGAAACUCAACACAAAUGAUGGUAAUAAAAUAAAAUUGUGAAUGUUGUUAUUUACGCACUUCAUAUUGUUUGUCAGAGUAGCCCCGCUCACAGGUCGUGUGGUGGAUGGACUCGCAAACGUAGUAUUCACAGAAAUCAUUCCCUUGUUCCUGCCAGAACCACUUUACAAGAAAUAGAGGUCAAUCAAACUGAUAAGCAAGAAUGCCAAAUGGUAUUGAUGAAACUAGCGCUUGAAUCACUAGGAGAUGCGUGGAACAUGCUACUAUAGUGCUUACUUUCGGGUGUCUAAAUUGUAGCUUCUUCGGCAGUUCCGGAGCUUUUUUGGUGAAUUUUCUCCAAACCCUGCCAGACAAAGAAAACAAUUACUUGAUAUAUCAGGAAAUGAACAAACUUGCUGAUAUGAUGGAUAAUGAUCGAUUUAACUUACUUCUCGAGCAUUUGAGUCAUGUCCGCAUAGUCCUGGGGAUCUUUUCGUCUCGAGUCUAAGACGGUUACUAGUCCCUGCUCAAGCUUAAUCUCUAGGAGAAUAUAGUGGAAACUGCACACGCAUGCAUAACUCAUCAAUUACAUUACUAUAACCUUGACUAAUAUAUAAGGGAAACCGAAUAUGCACAAGACAGCAACACUCACUUGAAGUUGUAAGGAAAGAGUAUUAUAUCUUUGUUUUCAUUUAUUACCAAUGAUCAUAGCAAGUUGGCCUCGGUAUCUGCGACAUGAAAUUUAACCUCAGUUGCAUCUAUGAGAUUUGUGUUAAUGAACCCAAUAUCACCGAUUUGUCUUUUCUUCAAUUCAACGAUCUUCAAUCUGCAUAAUAUAGUGAGGAUAAUUAUAAAUACAUGCAAUGAAAGAGCUGAUCUAUAUAGAGAUACUUAAUGACAGAAGUAGUACAACUUACAGACAGUAGCAGGUGACCGUUGCUUUAUCGAGGGCCAAUUGAUUGAAAAACUGAAAGAACUCCUCAAAUGGAACAUGCAUGUAACGCCCUGAGACCGAUGUGCCAGGUGUCCUCUAGUUAUUCGCUGUUGUUGCCAUGUCAUUUCUUGCGUGUCAUGCAUUGCAUAUCAUGUCAUCAUGUGCAUUGCAUUUGCAUACGUGUUCGUCUCAUGCAUUCGAGCUUUUUCCCCGUUGUCCGUUUUGCAUUCCGGCGCUCCAUUCUCCUCCGGUGGUCAUUUCUACCUUUCUUUCAGGUGUGGGGAUUAAACAUUUCCAGAUUGGAUCGAGAUUUUCCAAGCGGCCUUGGUUUACCACCGGUAGACCGCCUGUCAAGUUUCGUAUCAUUUGGACUUCGUUUGAUACUCCAACGGUUAACCGAGGGACCGAAAAGGCCUCGUGUGUGUUGCAGCCCAACACCCCUCCAAUUUGGCCCAAAACCCACCUAACUCUCCUCCAUCAUCUAGAGCGUUCGAUCAUGAUCGCGUGGCCAAAAACUGCACCUCAUUUGGACUCUCCUAACUCCCUCUACCUAUAUAUAUGUGCAACCCUCCCGAAAUUCGUGGAUGAACCCUAGCCUUCGUCCUCCUCGCGCCACCGGACACUUUUCCACCGCGCCGGACAUAUCCGCCGCCCCCCAGCCACCUCACUCCGACCAACCCCGGCGUGCCACGUCAGCCCCGCCGCCCUCACCAGCCUAUCCGGCUUCGCCACCUCACACCGCGCCUGCGCCCUCUCUCUCCAGCCAGCCGCGGCCCGGAUCUGGCCCUCCGGGCUCGAUCCGCCUGCGAGCCCCCGCGCCCCGCCGCCUGUACGGCCCGCCGCCUCNNNNNNNNNNNNNNNNNNNNNNNNNNNNNNNNNNNNNNNNNNNNNNNNNNNNNNNNNNNNNNNNNNNNNNNNNNNNNNNNNNNNNNNNNNNNNNNNNNNNNNNNNNNNNNNNNNNNNNNNNNNNNNNNNNNNNNNNNNNNNNNNNNNNNNNNNNNNNNNNNNNNNNNNNNNNNNNNNNNNNNNNNNNNNNNNNNNNNNNNNNNNNNNNNNNNNNNNNNNNNNNNNNNNNNNNNNNNNNNNNNNNNNNNNNNNNNNNNNNNNNNNNNNNNNNNNNNNNNNNNNNNNNNNNNNNNNNNNNNNNNNNNNNNNNNNNNNNNNNNNNNNNNNNNNNNNNNNNNNNNNNNNNNNNNNNNNNNNNNNNNNNNNNNNNNNNNNNNNNNNNNNNNNNNNNNNNNNNNNNNNNNNNNNNNNNNNNNNNNNNNNNNNNNNNNNNNUCCACCACUGCCAAGGGCGCGCCGCGCCGCCAUGCUCCGGCCCCGGCCGCCGCCAUGCCCCGCGGGUGCUCCGCCCCCUCGCCGGAAUCGCCGCGCCGCUCGCCGAAGUCCGUCCCGGCCAGAUCCGCCCCGCCUGGAGGAGAUCCAUCGGGAGUCCAACCAAACACACCCGUCUCGGAUCCGCACCGCUCCGUCCCGGAACCGCUCCGUCCCGCGUUGACUUUUCGCGGAGGUAAAAUUCGUCUAAGUCCCCAAAUCACAAAUCCAUGUGCCCAUGUUCAUCGUGCCGUAAUUUUGCAUCCGUAGCUCCGAUUCAUGCAUAUAGCAUAUCAAAAUGUUCAUCUCAGAGAGUACAUCAUUUCAUUCCAUUGCAUCAUUUUCAUUUGAGCUCAUCUUGAUGCCCGAAAUGCUGUUAGAAGAGGGCUACUUGAGUUAAUUGUCAGAUCUGCUACCCCGUUUAGCACUUUUGUCAUUUUUGCCAUGAUUAUUGUGUGCAUGAUAUGUCCGUGAGUUCUAUAUAUGUUUUGUUAAGGGUUUUGUCAUCUUUCCAGAGGUGCAACCCAUGUAUUUUUGUGAUGUGUGUGGUGUCUAGUGCAAGCUUGCAAAGUGGUGCACUUGCUAAUUCUGUUUUCAGGGACUUAGUAAUUUCACUAAGUGCUGGAGUUGUUUAUCUCAUGAUGCCAUAUGUCCAUGUUGUUUCCUAGUGAUCCGUGCCUCUUUUGAGGAUGAUCAGUAAGGAUGAUUUGUUAAUCUUGUAGUGCUCUAUCCAUCCAUGUCUUUGUUUGCAAUUAUGGAGCACCCUAGCUUGAGUCAAUCGAGCUCUACUUUUGUUACUUUGUGAAUCUAGGCAGAUUGUCAACUUGUUUGCAAUUUUGCCGAUGAUGUUGUAGUUGAUCUGUGCAUGCUAUGCUAUUGUUCUUGCCAUGUAUAGCUUGCUUUUUGUGCCUUCUUGAUGGGUGUAUGCUUGUCUUGCCAUGACUUGCACCGUAGUGAGUGCAUCGAGCUCGUAAACAUGCCUACUUGAGUUAUAUUUCAACAUGUGUCAGUUUUUCACUAAGUCUGAAAACUAAUUAUGUUUUUGCUAUGUUCACAUGCUUGCAAUUGUAUUUUCUGAUCCCUUUUGGCUCAAGGUCACUAAAGUUCUUUGAGUAGCUCCAUGCCAUGCUUUACUUUGCCAUGUUCCGGUCCUGUAGCAUGUAGUUUUGUUGCUCCGAAGAGUGCAACCUGAUCUGAAAUUCCAGACAAGUGUUAAUUUCACUAAGUCUGAGAUCUGUUUGUCAUAUGCAUUUUUGCCAUGCUUGUUUGAACCUGUUAAUGGAUGAUUUGGCCGUAGCUCAGUGCUAGACUUUUGUUAAGCAUCUUGUAUGCAUCCCUGCCAUGUAUUUUGUUGUCAUGUUUGGGUGCUGUAGCAUGUUCAUCUAAUUGCAUUUAGAUGGCUACUUGCUGUAAAUCGGAGACCGGUGUCAUUUUUGAAUCGCUUGCCAUUUCCAAACCGUAACUCCGAUUCCGGCGUUCUUUAUAUCGUUUUCAAGCGAUUUCAUCUCAUCUUUCCAGUGGCACACUUGGAUUUCCAAGUUGAGGCCAGGUUCUUUCAUCUCUUAUCAAAUCAUGCAUAUGCAUCGCAUACCUCAUCCCGCAUAUCAUAUCAUGUUCAUGUGUUGGUUGUUUACUAUGUUGUGUGCUUCUUUUCCGGUGUUGCUUCUUCGGGUUGGUUCCGAUAACGUCGUGUUGUGAGGAUUCGUUCGACUACGUCCGUUUGUCUUCGUCAUGGACGCGUUCUUCUUCCUUGCGGGAUUUCAGGCAAGAUGAUCAUACCCUCGAAAUCACUUCUAUCUUUGCUUGCUUAGUUGCUCGCUCUUUUGCUAUGCCUAUGCUGCGAUACCCACCACUUGCUUAUCAUGCCUCCCAUAUUGUCGAACCAAGCCUCUAACACACCUUGUCCUAGCAAACCAUUGAUUGGCUAUGUUACCGCUUCGCUCAGCCCCUCUUAUAGCGUUGUUAGUUGCAGGUGAAGAUUGAAGUUUGUUCCUUGUUGGAACGUGGAGAUGUCGUUCUUUGUUGGACCAUGUUUACUUGUUGGGAUAUCACUAUAUAUCUUAUUUAAUUAAUGCAUAUAUAUACUUGGUAAAGGGUGGAAGGCUCGGCCUUAUGCCUGGUGUUUUGUUCCACUCUUGCCGCCCUAGUUUCCGUCAUAUCGGUGUUAUGUUCCCGGAUUUUGCGUCCCUUAUGCGGUUGGGCUAUUAUGGGAACCCCUUGACAGUUCGCCUUAAGUAAAGCUCUUCCAGCAAUGCCCAACAUUGGUUUUACCAUUCGCCACCUAGCCUUUUUCUUUCCCUUGGGUCGGCCAGCCCAAGGGUCAUCUUUAUUUUACCCCCCCCCCCCGGGCCAGUGCUCCUCUGAGUGUUGGUCCAACUGAGCGAUGUCCGAGGCUACCAGGGGCAACUCUGGGCUGGCUUACCCGACGUCUGGCUCAUCUGAGUGUGCCCUGAGAAAGAGAUAUGUGCAGCUCCUAUCGGGAUUUGUCGGCACAUUCGGGCGGUGUUGCUGGUUUAGUUUUACCCUGUCGAAAUGUCUUGUUGUAUCGGGAUACCGAGUCUGGUCGGAGGGUCUCGGGUGGAGGUCUAUUCCUUCGUUGACCGUGAGAGCUUGUGAUGGGCUAAGUUGGGACACCCCUACAGGGAUUUGAACUUUCGAAAGUCGUGCCCGCGGUUAUGGGAAAAUGGGAAUUUGUUAAUGUCCGGUUGUAGAAAACCUGAACUUGACCUUAAUUAAAAUGCAUCAACCGCGUGUGUAACCGUGAUGGUCUCUUUCCGGUGGGGGCCGGGAAGUGAACACGGUUGUUGGAGUUAUGCUUGACGUAGGUUGUUCUAGGAUCACUUCUUGAUCAUAGAUUCUCGACCGUGCUUUGCUUUCUCUUCUCGCUCUCUUUUGCGUAUGUUAGCCACCAUAUAUGCUAGUCGCUUGCUGCAGCUCCACCUCAUACCUUACCUUACCCAUAAGCUUAAAUAGUCUUGAUCGCGAGGGUGCGAGAUUGCUGAGUCCCCGUGGCUCACAGAUACUUCCAAAACCAGCUUGCAGGUGCCGAUGAGACCGUGCAGUUGACGCAACCAAGCUCAGGAGGAGCUCGAUGAAGAUCUUGUCCUUUGUGUUGUUCCGUUCUAGUUGAUCAGUAGUGGAGCCCAGUUGGGAUCGAUCGGGGACCUUUGUCGCAUUUGGGGUUCUUCUUUUAUUUUGGUUUCGUAGUCGGACCUUGAUUGUAUUUGGAUGAUGUAAUGCUUUAUUCAUGUAAUUGUGUGAAGUGGCGAUUGUAAGCCAACUAUGUAUCUUCUUCCUCUAUUGUAUUACAUGAGUUUGUGUGAAGAUUACCUCACUUGCGACAUUGCUUUCAAUGCGGUUAUGCCUCUAAGUCGUGCUUCGACACGUGGGAGAUAUAGCCGCAUCGAGGGAGUUACAAGGCAACAGUUCAAUUCCAAUGAGGUCAUGCUCCUUUUUAACUCUCACAUACAAAGUAUUCCUCCCCCCAGACUCUCUGCAGAUUUUCAAGUACCAAUCAUGCAAUCUUCGCAUCAUCGUUGAUAUAGAUCUUUCAUCUUUGACGAGAGGCUUCCCGUACUCGUAUCUUUGUAUCUGCACCUCCAAGAAAUCAUAAUGUACAUCGUCGGGCAGGUAAUCUCCAAGAUUGCUAUAACCGGGCACCAUCCUCGGAUCAUUAGCGACGAUGUCGCUAGGCACCUUGAGCGGGGGGCACGAUUGCUUCGCUUGUUCGCCGAGCUGGGCAAUUUGUUUCCCAGCUUGUCGUUCUUUCAGCCUUUGAUCAUUGACAGUACUUCCCGACCGCUCCACUUCGGCAAAUGCCUUUCCAAUAAUGCGCUCAUAGUUGCCUUUCAGCGGAGACUUGGAUGGUUUUGUCAGGGCAGCCAGAGUGCGCUUCGCUUUCACCGGAUCUACCUUCUCCUCCGAAGGUGGAUGUUUCUUUGCUUUCACCCCUUCAAAGAAGUUCCUCACUUCUUCUCGCGCGAUCUCGGCGUUCUCCUCCGGGGUCCUCUCGUAUGGUAACUUCUCUGGAGUCUUCAGAGAAGGACCGAAUCUGUAUGUCCUCCCGCUUCUGGCUGUACUGCUAGACGCCGGCAGAGCAGACGGAGUGGCUGUCUUCUUUACUUGCUUACGAGGCGGAGGAGAAGGACUAUGACGCACCGGAGCAGCUGGAGCGGCGGCGGGUCUCUUCCGCCCUUGCUGACGAGGCGGAGAAGGAGGAGGCUGGCUGCUCAGGCGCGCCGGCGCAGGCGGAUAAGGAGGCGGAGUGCCGCCACGCGCCGGAGAAGGAGCCGGCUGAGUGCCCUGAUCGUCACUCGUCGGAGGAGGAUGUGGUGGAGGAGGAGGAGUGCCCUGACUCGCCGGAGGAGGAGGCGGAGGCAUCCAGUUCGGAAGGUUGAUGAGCUCCUUCCGCCAUAGGCAUGGAGUCUUCAGAGCAGAACCCAGCCGAGUCUCCCCUUCACCGGUAGGGUGGUCAAGCUGGAGGUCCUCAAAUCCCUCCAUUAUUUCAUCCACCAUCACCCUAGAAUAUCCUUCUGGAAUCGGCCGACAGUGAAAAGUUGCGUCGGGUUCAGUAGGAAAAACAGAGCCAAGUGCCGCCUUGACCUUCAUAUUAAUCCAUUGCGUCAUAAGGUGGCAAUUUUGAGACUACGUGAUAGCAUCGAUGGGAUAGCUGCCAGGAGCCGUCAAGACAUGCUCCGGCUGAAGCAGGUCGGUGGAAGCCACGCUGCUUCUCCGCUGAGAUGGCGGGGUAGCUUUGGAGGAAGCUUCGGCAGUUCGUUUGCUGCGAUUUGCUUCUCGUUCCUCUAUCGCUUGUACCCUAGCGUGCAGCGCCUGCAGUUGGGUCUGCUCCACUUUCUUCCUCCUCUCGUGGCAUUUGUAACCGCCUGUGUCCGGAAACCCAGCCUGCCACGGAAUGGAUCCUGGCGUGCCUCGUGUCCGUCCAGGGUGCUCAGGAUUCCCGAGGGCCAUUGUGAGCACGUCACUUGUGGGACGUGGAUGUAGUGUCCGACACCGACGGCCACAUGUAUCUCACACCGACGAUACUUGCUAUUUAGGGUUUCCUCUACCGCUCGGCGACCCUCGACGACCCUCGUUCCCGAUAAAAAAAAGAGGAAGAAGGAAAAAAAAGAGGAGAAGAAAGAAUAGAGGACUCCUCGACCCCUCUAUUCUUUCUUCUCCUCUUUUCUUUCUUCUCCUCUUUUUUUCUUCUUUCUCUUCUUUUUUUAUCCUCUUCUUCCUCUCAUGUUCGACGACCCUCGACCCCUCGGUGACCCUAGACCCCCUCUCGACCCUCGACCCCUCGGCGACCGUCGACCCCCUCUCGACCCUCGACCCCCUCUCGACCCCUUGACGAUCCUAGAACUUUUUUUCUCCCCGAUAACAUUUUUUUCUCCGAGAGAGUUCAUAUGAAUAUACAAACAUUUGCAUAUUUACAAUAAUCAAUAUCACCAAAAAAAUCUAUGAACAGAAAAAAUACUAUUUUUUCUAAAAAUCUAUCUUUUGCAUAUNNNNNNNNNNNNNNNNNNNNNNNNNNNNNNNNNNNNNNNNNNNNNNNNNNNNNNNNNNNNNNNNNNNNNNNNNNNNNNNNNNNNNNNNNNNNNNNNNNNNNNNNNNNNNNNNNNNNNNNNNNNNNNNNNNNNNNNNNNNNNNNNNNNNNNNNNNNNNNNNNNNNNNNNNNNNNNNNNNNNNNNNNNNNNNNNNNNNNNNNNNNNNNNNNNNNNNNNNNNNNNNNNNNNNNNNNNNNNNNNNNNNNNNNNNNNNNNNNNNNNNNNNNNNNNNNNNNNNNNNNNNNNNNNNNNNNNNNNNNNNNNNNNNNNNNNNNNNNNNNNNNNNNNNNNNNNNNNNNNNNNNNNNNNNNNNNNNNNNNNNNNNNNNNNNNNNNNNNNNNNNNNNNNNNNNNNNNNNNNNNNNNNNNNNNNNNNNNNNNNNNNNNNNNNNNNNNNNNNNNNNNNNNNNNNNNNNNNNNNNNNNNNNNNNNNNNNNNNNNNNNNNNNNNNNNNNNNNNNNNNNNNNNNNNNNNNNNNNCCCUUUAGUCCCGUUGGUGCCACCAACCGGGACCAAUGGCCUUGCGCUAGCGCGGUGGUGGGAGUUUAGUCCCACCUCGCUUGUUGAGAGCGGCCAACACCUGUUUAUAAGCUCCGCUGCCUCUUCCCUCUCGAACUCCUCUGAACUGCAGGCCUAUGGGCCUAAUUUGAUACCUCUCUGCUUGUGGGCCUAUUGGGUCUUCUGCGGGCCUGAAUCCUGGCCAAGGUUGGGUUUCUAGUCGUAUUCAGGCCGUGGUGGCCCAAUAGGUGAUAGUUUAUUUCUUUGUUGCUUUAUUUAUUUUAUUUUGUUUCUACUUACAAAAAAAUACUUAUUGUUGCUAUUUUUUCUAGUUUUUUUGUUUUGUUUUCUGCAUUAUUUAUUUUCUUUUGUGUUUUGCUUUAUUUUUUAAUUAUUUUUGCUUUUAGUUUUAAAAAAACUAUAAACUUUUUGUUAGUGCCAUUAGUUUUCAAAUUUGAAAACAUUUUUUUUGUUUUUUUGUUUUCUUUAUUGCUUUAUUUAUUUUAUUUUGUUUCUACUUACAACAAAAUACUUAUUGUUGCUAUUUUUGUUUUUUUUCCAGUUUUUUGUUUUGUUUUCUGCAUUAUUAUUUUUUUGUAUUUUGCUUUAUUUUUUAAUUCUUUAUGCUCGUAGGUCAACAAAAUUAUAAACUUUCUGUUAGUGCUAUUAGUUUUAGAAAAAUUAUAAACUUUCUGUUAGUGUCAUUAGUUUUUAAAUUUGAAUAGUUAAAAUUUGAAUUCUUUGAAAUUUGUGUGAAUCACAAGUUUGUGAUUAAGGGUGUGUUUGGUUCCAGUCACGAGCUGGAACGGCAUGGGUCAGACCUGCCCCAGGGCCUCGUUCGUGCGUUUGGUUCGUAAAUGGAGGGGAACCGAGUCGUGCCCAGUGAGCGCAUAUUCUGCCAAUAUCCGGAACGUGUUGAGACCUCCAAAUCGGAGGAACCACGCGGAACCGGUCGUCGCUCUUUCCUCUCCUCCCCGAAACCCAAUCGAGUCCUCUCUUAGAGCAACCACCUCCCACUCAUCUCUUCCUCACCCGAUGUGCGCUGUCGGCGAACUCCUGUCGAUCUGCGCCGCCGGCAACUCGUCUCCUCCCCGAAACCCAAUCGAAUCAUCUCUCAGAGCCGCCUCCCACUUGUCUCUCCCUCACCCAAUGUGCGCCACCGGCGACCUCCUCUCGAUCCGCGCCGCCGGCGACUCGUCUCUUCCUCUCUCAUGCGGCGGAUUGAGCGGCUGGGUGGUGGCAGUUUUGCAACGGGAGCGUCGGCGGGCUAGGUGCUAAUAGCAGCAGCACCGUUUCCUCUGAUAUGACCUUCGUUCCUCUCCCUUGUACAUGUUGCAGCUUCUCCCCAUUUUUCCUGUUCAGCCGAGAGAGAGAGACAGAGAUAUGUUUUGUUCGUUGUUGUUAGCACGAGACAGAGACACAGGGAUAUUGAGAUAUGUGAUGUUCGUUGCUCUCCUCACUUUUCUGGUUAAAGUUUCUUUCUGUAUGCUAUUCGAUUAAAGUUUCUUGCUGUAUGUCAUUCUUGUCAAUAUAUAUUGUUUUUGUUGUCUGUCUUGAAAAUGCAAAUGAAAUGCUAUCAUAAUUUCGAAUUUUAAGUCGUUUCAUUUUUCAUUCCAUCUCUCUAACCAAACACCGCAACGGAACCAACCCAUUCUACUUUUUUGCUGCUACCAAACACAGGAAUGGAACCAACCCGUUCCUCUGGAAUGGAACCGUUCAAUUCCAUGACACUUUGUUCCACAAGCAAACACACCAUAACUUUACUAAAAAAAUGAACAUAGAUGCACCUAUAGAGAAAUUUCGACCUAAAUUCAUAAUCAAUUUCUAUGAAUUUCAGAGAAAUUCAUUAUGAUUUUAGGUCAAAUUCCCUGUAUAGGGGCAUCUGUUUUCACUUUGAGAGGAGCUCAACAAGGCAGAGAGGGACGGGCUUAUAAACCGGUGUGAGCGCCCUUCGGUUGGCAAGGUGGGACUAAACUCUGAGCACAACGAGGACCAACCCUUUAGUCCCGGUUUGUGGCACAAGCCGGGACUAAUGGUCAUGGGCCAGGGGCGAGCCCUAAUUUUUUUCUAGUUUUUUUGUUUUGUUUUCUGCAUUAUUUAUUUUCUUUUGUUCUUUGCUUUAUUGUUUAAUUAUUUUUUCUUUUAGUUUUACAAAAAUUAUAAACUUUCUGUUAGUGCCAUUAGUUUUCAAAUUUGAAAACACUUUUUUUGUUUUUUGUUUUCUUUGUUGCUUUAUUUAUUUUAUUUUGUUUCUACUUACAAAAGAAUACUUAUUGUUGCUAUUUUUAUUUUUUUUCAGUUUUUUUGUUUUGUUUUCUGUAUUAUUUAUUUUCUUUUGUUUUUUGCUUUAUUUUUUAAUACUUUUUGCUUUCAAGUCAGCAAAAUUAUAAACUUUCUGUUAGUGCCAUUAGUUUUAGAAAAAAAUUAUAAAUUUUUUUGUUAGUGUCAUUAGUUUUCAAAUUUGAAUAGUUAAAAUUUGAAUUCUUUAAAAUUUGUGUGAAUCACAAGUUUGUGAUUAACUUUACUAAAAAAAUGAACAUAGAUGUACUUAUAGAGAAAAUUCGACCUAAAUUCAUAGUUUUCAAAUGAACUCUGAAAAAGUUGGCAUAGCAUGUGCAUGUAUAAAACGGACAAUGGUAUCAUACUCGUGUGUUAUAAAGUUGGCAUGGUAUCAUCAUAAUAGUUACGGGAGAAAGUCUUCACUUUUUCUUCGCUUGUGUCAUUUGCUUAUUGCGCCAUAACAUGGAUAAUCUUCAUCGUUUAUCAGGAUGCUUGGGUCAGCCUUGACAUUGAAGGGAGGAAUUUCAUGAAACUUUUCAUAAUCUUCAGACAUGUCUGUCUUGCCCUCCACUCCCAGGAUGUCCCUUUUUCCUGAAAGAACUAUGUGGCGCUUUGGCUCAUCGUAUGAUGUAUUCGCUUUCUUAUCUUUUCUUUUUCUCGGUUUGGUAGACAUGUCCUUCACAUAGAUAACCUGUGCCACAUCAUUGGCUAGGACGAACGGUUCGUCAGUGUACCCAAGAUUUUUCAGAUCCACUGUUGUCAUUCCGUAUUGUGGGUCUACCUAUACCCCGCCUCCUGACAGAUUGACCCAUUUGCACUUAAACAAAGGGACCUUAAAAUCAUGUCCGUAGUCAAGUUCCCAUAUGUCCACUAUGUAACCAUAAUAUGUGUCCUUUCCCCUCUCGGUUGCUGCAUCAAAGAGAACACCGCUGUUUUGGUUGGUGCUCUUUUGAUCUUGGUCAAUCGUGUAAAAUGUAUUCCCAUUUAUCUUGUAUCCUUUGUAAAUCAAUAUAGUCAAAGAUGGUCCCCUGGACAACAAGUACAACUCAUCACAAACAAUGUUGUCACCUCUAAGACAUGCUUCCAACCAACUGUUGAAAGUCCUGAUGUGUUCACAUGUAAUCCAGUCGUCGCACUGCUUUGGGUGUUUGGAGCGCAGACUAUUUUUGUGUUCAUCGACAUACGGGGUCGCCAAGGUAGAGUUCUGUAGAACUGUGUAGUGUGCUUGAAACCAAGAAUAUCCGUCCCUGCAUAUUAUUGAGUCACUUCCAAGAGUGUGUUUUCCAGUCAGUCUCCCCUCAUACCGCGAUUUAGGGAGACCUAUCUUCUUAAGGCCAGGAAUGAAGUCAACACAAAACCCGAUGACAUCCUCUGUUUUGAUGGCCCAUGGAGAUGCUUCCUUCUGGCCUAGCGCGGUUACGGACAUAUUUCUUUAGGACUCCCAUGAACCUCUCAAAGGGGAACAUAUUGUGUAGAAAUACGGACCCCAGAAUGACAAUCUCGUCGACUAGAUGAACUAGGACGUGCAUCAUGAUAUUAAAGAAGGAUGGUGGGAACACCAGCUCGAAACUGACAAGACAUUACGCCACAUCACUCUUUAGCCUUGGUACGAUUUCUGGAUCGAUCACCUUCUGAGAGAUUGCAUUGAGGAAUGCACAUAGCUUCACAAUGGCUAAUCGGACGUUUUCUGGUAGAAGCCCCCUCAAUGCAACCGGAAGCAGUUGCGUCAUAAUCACGUGGCAGUCAUGAGACUUUAGGUUCUGGAACUUUUUCUCUGGCAUAUUUAUUAUUCCCUUUAUAUUCGACGAGAAGCCAGUCGUGACCUUAAUACUGAGCAGGCAUUCAAAUAAGAUUUCUUUCUCUUCUUUCGUAAGAGCGUAGCUGGCAGGACCUUUAUACUGCUUCGGAGGCAUGCCGUCUUUUUCGUGCAAACGUUGCAGGUCCUCCCGUGCCUGAGGUGUAUCUUUUGUCUUCCCAUACACGCCCAAGAAGCCUAGCAGGUUCAUGCAAAGGUUCUUCGUCACGUGCAUCACGUCGAUUGAAAAGCGGACCUGUAGGUCUUUCCAGUAGGGUAGGUCCCAAAAUAUAGAUUUCUUCUUCCACAUGGGUGUGUGUCCCUCAGCGUCAUUCGGAAUAGCUAGUCCGCCGGGACCCUUUCCAAAGAUUACGUGUAAAUCAUUGACCAUAGCAAGUACGUGAUCACCGGUAUGCAUGGCGGGCUUCUUCCGAUGAUCUGCCUCGCCUUUGAAAUGCUUGCCUUUCUUUCGACAUUGAUGGUUGGUCGGAAGAAAUAGACGAUGGCCCAGGUACACAUUCUUCCUGCAUUUGUCCAGGUAUAUACUUUCAGUGUCAUCUAAACAGUGCGUGCAUGCGUGGUAUCCUUUGUUUGUCUGUCCUGAAAGGUUACUGAGAGCGGGCCAAUCAUUGAUGGUCACGAACAGCAAUGCCUUUAGGUUAAAUUCCUCCUGUUUGUGCUCAUCCCAUGUACGUACACCGUUUACAUUCCACAGCUGUAAAAGUUCUUCAACUAAUGGCCUUAGGUACACAUCAAUGUCGUUGCCGGGUUGCUUAGGGCCUUGGAUGAGAACUGGCAUCAUAAUGAACUUCCGCUUCAUGCACAUCCAAGGAGGAAGGUUAUACAUACAUAGAGUCACGGGCCAGGUGUUGUGAUUGCUGCUUUGCUCCUCGAAAGGAUUAAUGCCAUCCGCGCUUAAAGCAAACCAUACAUUCCUUGGGUCCUUUGCAAACUCAUCCCAGUACUUUCUCUCGAUUUUUCUCCACUGCGACCCGUCAGCGGGUGCUCUCAACUUUCCGUCUUUCUUACGAUCCUCACUGUGCCAUCACAUCAACUUGGCAUGCUCUCCGUUCCUGAACAGACGUUUCAACCGUGGUAUUAUAGGAGCAUACCACAUCACCUUCGCAGGAACCCUCUUCCUGGGGGGCUCGCCGUCAACAUCACCAGGGUCAUCUCGUCUGAUCUUAUACCGCAAUGCACCGGAUACCGGGCAUGCGUUCAGAUCCUUGUAUGCACCGCGGUAGAGGAUGCAGUCAUUAGGGCAUGCAUGUAUCUUCUCCACCUCCAAUCCUAGAGGGCAUACGACCUUCUUUGCUGCGUAUGUACUGUCGGGUAAUUCGUUAUCCUUUGGAAGCUUCUUCUUCAAUAUUUUCAGCAGCUUCUCAAAUCAUUUGUCAGGCACAUCAUUCUCUGCCUUCCACUGCAGCAAUUCCAGUACGGUACCGAGCUUUGUGUUGCCAUCUUCGCAAUUGGGGUACAAUCCUUUUUUGUGAUCCUCUAACAUGCGAUCAAAAUUCAGCUUCUCCUUUUGACUUUCGCAUUGCGUCCUUGCAUCGACAAUGACCCGGCGGAGAUCAACAUCAUCGGGCACAUCGUCUGGUUCCUCUUGGUCUUCAGCAGCUUCACCCGUUGUAGCAUCAUUGGGCACAUCGUCUGGUUCCUCUUGAUCUUCACCAGCUCCCCCCGUUGCAGCAUCACCGUAUUCAGGGGGCACAUAGUUGUCAUCGUACUCUUCUUCUUCACCGUCUUCCAUCAUAAUCCCUAUUUUUCCGUGCCUCGUCCAAACAUUAUAGUGUGGCAUGAAACCCUUGUAAAGCAGGUGGGAGUGAAGGAUUUUCCGGUUAGAGAAAGACCUCGUAUUCCCACAUUCAGUGCAUGGACAACACAUAAAACCAUUCUGCUUGUUUGCCUCAGCCCCAUCGAGAAACUCAUGCACGCCCUUAAUGUACUCGAAGGUGUGUCUGUCACUGUACAUCCAUUGUCGGUUCAUUUGCGUGCAUUAUAUAUAAUUAAGUGUCCAAAUUAAUAGAAGUUCAUCAUCACAUUAAAAGCAAAGUACAUACAUAGUUCUCAUCUAACAACAUAUAGCUCUCCAGAGUAUCUAAUUAAUUAAACCAUACAUUGAAACUAUGUAAAACAUUUCAAUGCGAAAAAAAUGCGAUCAUAAUCGCAACCAAGGUAACAAUUGAUCCAACGGCAUAAUGAUACCAAGCCUCGGUAUGAAUGACAUAUUUUCUAAUCUUUCUAAUCUUCAAGCGCGUUGCAUCCAUCUUGAUCUUGUGAUCAUCGACGCCAUCCGCAACAUGCAACUCCAAUAUCAUCUUCUCCUCCUCAAUUUUUUUAUUUUUUCCUUCAAGAAAUUGUUUUCUUCUUCAAUUAAAUUUAACCUCUCGACAAUAGGGUCGGUUGGAAUUUCUGGUUCACAUACAUCCUAGAUAAAUAAAAUCUAUGUCACGUUGGUCGGCAUAAUUUUCAUAAACAAUAAAUGAACCAAUAGUUAUAAAGAUAAUAUAUAUACCACAUCCGAAUCAUAGACGGGACGAGGGCCGACGGGGGCGGAUACCAAAACCAUCGCACUAUAUAAGAUGAAAUAAUAAAAGUAAGAAAAUAAUACAAGUAUCUGUGUAAACAUACAAGUAAGAAUAUUUUUUCCUUUCAGAAAGAAGAUAAGAACAAGAGGCUCACCACGGUGGUGCCGGCGAUGAGCUCGGCGCGGGUGAUCGACGGCGGUGAAGACGGGGACAGGGCGUGACGGACCGCUAAACCUUGACAAAUAUUGAGGAAAAUGGAGCUUGGAGAGGAGAAAGCUUAAGUAGUGUGGCUCGGGCAUUCCAUCGAACACCUUGUGUGCCUAGGAGGUGAGCUAGAGCACCACCAAACCCUCUCCCCCUCGGCCAGAAAAAACAGAGCAGUGUGCUCUGCUCUUACGCGAGGGGGUAUAUAUAGGCACCUCAUUGGUCCCGGUUGGUGGCAUGAACCGGGACUAAAGAGGAGCAUUUGGUCCCGGUUCAAGCCACCAACCGGGACCAAUGGUGGUGGGCCAGGAGCGAGGCCAAUUGGUCCCGGUUCGUCCCACCAACCGAGACCAAAAGGUCCAGACAAACCGGGACCAAUGGGCCACGUGGCCCGGCCGGCCCCCUGGGCUCACGAACCGGGUCCAAUGCCCCCAUUGGUCCCGGUUCUGGACUGAACCGGGACUAAUGGGCUGACCCGGCCUGGACCUUUGCCCCCUUUUCUACUAGUGAUAGAACAAUACACAGGUGGUGGAAUAAGAGAGCACAUCCUCAGGAUGAGCAAUAUGGCAGCAAAGUUAAAGCCCAUGGAUGAGGAUCUGGAGAUCAAACCAAAGCUCUUGGUCCACCUGGUCAUGGCUUCACUGCCAAAGGAGUUUGAAACUUUUGUUGUGAACUACAAUAUGUCAUCUGGAACAUGGGACAUUGAAAAGACAAUAGCGAUGUGUGUCCAAGAAGAGGACAGACUAAAAGCCUCACAUGGUGGUACACUCAACUAUGUGAAGGAUCACAAGAAAAAGAACUACAAUCAAAACAACAAAAGUUCUCCUUCAAAGCCACAAGGAAAAGCUCCCUAUCAGCAUCAGCGUCAGCAACAACCUUUCCCAGUGGACAAAGACACCUGUCUCCACUGUAAGCAGACCGGGCAUUACAAGAAAGACUGCCCUGUUUGGCUGAAGUCCUUAAUGGCAAAGCAAGGUAACAACAUUGUUUCCUUAGUUAAUGAAUCCUUGUACACACAGUUUUCGAAAUCUACUUGGUGGAUUGACUCAGGGGCAACUGUUCAUGUUGCAAAUUGUUUAAAGGGAUUCCAUUCGACCCAGACUACGCUAAGAAGAGAAGGAGGCAUUGAAGUAGCCAAUGGAAUUAAAGCGGAAGUUGAAGCUGUCGACGACAUCUCCUUGGAGUUAGCUGAUGGAUUCAAGCUUCUACUUAGAGAUGUUCUUUAUGUUCCUUCAUGUAAUAGAAACUUAAUUAGUGUUUCAUGUUUGGACAAAGAAAAUUAUGACUGUUAUUUUGGACAUGGCAAGUGUGCCAUAUGGUAUAAUAAUGCUUAUGUGGGUAAUGCUUUACUACAUGAUGAGCUUUAUUUGUUAUCACUUCGUGAAAAAGUGCAUUCUGUAUGCAAUGUGAAUGAACAUGUUUCCGCGUCGAAUAAAGAACAAAAGAAAAGAAAGAGAACAUUUGACUCAUCGAAAUUAUGGCACUGUCGCUUAGGCCAUAUUUCGAAGGGGAGAAUAGAAAGAUUAGUCAAAAGUGAAAUUCUUCCACAGUUAGAAUUCUUAGACUUAGAACAAUGUGUAGAUUGCAUUAAAGGAAAGUAUAUAAAACAAAUCAAAAAAGGUGCAAUCCAUAGCACAAGCACACUAGAAAUCAUCCACACUGACAUUUGUGGACCAUUUCCGGUGAAAAGUGUGGAUGGAUAUGACUCGUUCAUAACAUUCACAGAUGAUUACUAUCGCUAUGGUUAUAUUUAUCCAAUCAAAGAAAGAUCUGAAGCGUUGGAUUAAUUUAAAAUAUUCAAAGCUGAAGUUGAAAAUCAGCAUGAUAAAAGAAUAAAGAUAGUAAGGUCCGACUGUGGGGGAGAGUACUACGGUCGGCACACUCCAUAUGGCCAAGUCCCUGGACCUUUCGCAAAGUUCUUACAGGAGACUGGCAUAGUUGCCCAUUAUUCAUUGCGGGUGAACCUCAGCAAAAUGGAGUAGCUGAAAGGCGCAACCGUACACUUAUGGAUAUGGUGCACAACAUGAUGAGUUAUUCCAACUUGCCAUUGGGAUUAUGGAUGGAGGCGCUUAAAACCGCCAUUCACAUUCUCAAUAGAGUACCACGCAAGUCGGUGCCCAAAACACUGUAUGAGCUAUGGACAGGAAGGGUGCCUUCCCUACAUCACUUCAGGGUGUGUGGGUGCCCUGCUGAGGCCAAAAUGUUUAAUCCAAACAUUGCAAAGUUAGAUCCCAAAACAGUAAGUUGCCACUUCAUUGGCUAUCCAGACAGAUCAAAAGGUUUUCAUUUCUACUGCCCAGACAGAUAUACAAAGUUUGUAGAAACGAGACAUGCAGUCUUCUUUGAGAACGAAAUGAUGAGGGGGAGUUUGGUAGCUCGGAAAAUUGAUCUUGAGGAGAAGAGGGUGCAUGCACCUAAUCUGAUGAUUCAGGAGCCAUUUUUCUCACUACCAGUUGCAACUCCACCCAUAACAACUAUGGGGGUAGACUCGGAACCUGUCCGUCAGGAGCCGACUGAACCCGUUGUUGAGCAUGAAAGGGAGGUGCAACAACAAAUUUUAGAAGAAGUGCCAGAAGUUGAGGCACAGAAUGUGCCAGAAAUUGAGGCCCUUAGAAGGUCUACAAGACCAAGAAAGUCAGCUAUUUCUACUGACUUUAAAGUUUAUAACACAUAAAUGGUUCAUAUGGAAAAAGAUCCCACCUCAUAUGAAGAAGCCAUGAGAAGCCCUCAUUCAUCGAAGUGGAUGAAGGCAAUGGAAGAUGAGAUGAAAUCGAUGAGUUCCAAAGAUGUUUGGGACUUAGAGGAAAUUCCUAAAGGAGCCAAAACAGUAGGUUGUAGAUGGGUCUACAAAAUUAAGUAUGACUCUAAAGGGAAUAUAGAAAAGUAUAAAGCACGACUCGUGGCAAAAGGAUUUACACAAAGAGAAGGGAUAGAUUACAAUGAGACAUUUUCUUCAGUCUCAUGUAAGGAUUCCUUUAGAAUCAUAAUGGCAUUAGUUGCUCAUUUUGAUUUAGAAUUACAUCAAAUGGAUGUUAAGACGACAUUUCUGAAUGGUGAUUUAAAAGAAAAGGUCUACAUGAAACAACCCAAGGGUUUUAUCAUGGAAGGCAAGGAAAAUAUGGGAUGCCGCCUGAAGAAAUCCAUUUAUGGAUUAAGACAAGCCUCUCGGCAGUGGUAUCUAAAGUUUAAUCAAACGAUUAAAAGUUUUGGAUUUAAAGAAAAUAUUGAGGAUAAUUGCAUUUAUGCAAAGUUUAAAAAUGGGAAAUAUAUUUUCCUAAUCUUGUAUGUGGAUGAUAUCCUGCUUGCUAGCAGUGAUGUUAGUCUACUACAAGAAACAAAGAAAUACUUAUCCUCAAAUUUUGACAUAACAGAUCUUGGUGAAGCAUCAUAUGUUUUGGGCAUAGAAAUUCACCGAGACAAGAACAAUGGAGUCUUAGGACUAUCGCGGAAAGCAUAUUUAGAAAAGGUUCUUAAAAAGUAUAAUAUGCAUGCGAGUAAAGCCACACCUGCUCCUAUAGUCAAGGGCGAUAGUUUCGGGAAAUUUCAAUGUCCCAAGAACCAGUACGAGAUCGAUCAAAUGAAAGCAGUACCAUAUGCUUCGGCAGCUGGCAGCUUACAGUAUGCACAAGUGUGCACUCGUCCUGACUUAGCUUUUAUCACCGGGGUACUCGGUAGAUAUCAAGAGAACCCAGGCAUGGAGCACUGGAUGAUGGUAAAGAAAGCAUUACGUUAUGCGCAAGGCACGAAGGACUACAUGCUAAUAUACAGGAGAAGUGAUUCCCUAGAGAUAAAAGGGUAUUCAGACGCAGAUUUUGCGGGGGACAGAGAUGAUAGAAAAUCCACGUCAGGAUACGUCUUCACUGUCGCUGGGGGAGCUAUUUCGUGGAAAAGCUCCAAGCAGUCGAUAGUUGCAUCAUCCACGAUGUAUGCGGAAUUUAUAGCAUGCUUCGAAGCCACGGGGCAGGCGAUAUGGCUAAAGAAAUUUGUACCCGACUUGAAAGUGGUAGAUUGUAUUCACAAACCACUAAAGAUGUACUGCGACAACCAACCCGCAGUAUUUUACGCUCACAACAACAAGUUGAGUAAUGCUGCCAAAACAAUAGAGAUAAGGUAUUAUGUUGUGAAAGAUAAAAUCCAGGAUCAAACUAUAAGUUUCUAGCAUAUAAGGACAAGGAUAUGCUUGCGGAUCCGCUAACGAAAGGCUUACCACCCAAUGUGUUCAAGGAACACUUAGCCGACAUGGGUUUAAGGGAAAGCCUUAUGAUUUCUGGAUAGGCCCAAAAGGAACAGAAUUUGCUUCUGAACAUAACGUAUGUUGUAGCUGUAUGAUUCUAACGGCGAUUAAGCUGUGACGAUGAAACAUGCUCUAUGUACCAAUAUGUGAUGAAACAAAUAAACUAGAAAGUAUAAAGUUAAAAGUAAAGUUAAGAUCAAGGGGGAGAAUGUUAGGUUGAUCUCUAUCCCGUUCGAACCCAACGGGUUGAACGGGCCCUUGACUCGCGCCCUGAUCGGGGGCGCCCAACCAAACUAUGGUUGGUGGCCCCCUGUGACCCGCGCUAUAUAAACAGAGGUGGGGGCCGGGGCACGACUUACGAGGUUAAUCGCUGCCACAAACCCCACCGACAAUCCCUUCCGAUCUAGGGUUAGCGCGGCGCUCACGGGAAGCUCCACCACCGCCGCCAUCUCUCUGCCAUCACCGGCCCCUACUUCACCAUGGCCGGCGCUGGAUCGAGUUCGUCUGCACCAGCAGAAGGUAGGUCUACCGGAAAGAUCUAGCCUACACGACCCAAGUAGGUCUAUCAUCCUGCCCCUCAGCCGCCGCCGCAGCCUCGUCGGCGGGAACCUCGAGGGCGGCUGCCGCCUCCUCCUCCUCCCUGGCUGCCGCCGCCUCCUCCUCCUCCUCCCUAGCCGCUGCCGCUGCCGCUGCCUCCUCCAUGGCCGCCGCCGCCCUCUCUAGGGCCAACAGCUCGAGCUCGGCCAUGAGGGUGCGGACGGGGUCGUACCCGGUCCCGUGCACUCUCCCGAGCGCAGCGUUCUUCACCUGGAAUGCCGGGCGGUGCGCCUUGCCGUCCUUGCACUCGACCUUCCUCCGGUGCCCCUUUCCGUGUCGCAUGCGCCGCGCCAAAGCAAACAAAUCGAAUCCGUCAUGCGCGAAACAGAGCAGCUGAGCAGUAGAUGUGCACAACGCGCGAGGGGAAAGAGGGCUUACUUUCCUCUGCCCAUCGACGCCGGCGGGGGUCUCUCCGGCGAAGGCGGUGGCGGGAGACGCGCGACGAGGAGAGCGUGGAGGAGGAGGAGGAGGUGGCUCCGAGAAGUGAAAGUGAUUGAAGCCAUUCCGAUGCGGCGGUGGUAUUAAUACAGAGGGAGCAGGAGAGCUUCAUCGGACGGCCAGGGUUCUUUCGUGGUGGAUGGGAAUUCACGGAGGCCGUCCGAUCUGAUCCAGCCCCGCGUGUUGCAAUUACACCUGCGCGAGUCGGCCGGUCACACGCGAGAAAAAAAAUGCCCCAAAACCAUUUCCUGACGUGCGGGACCCACGAGUCAUGAGCACAAGACUAUCUUGCGCCGGAACCGGAAGCCGGCGGCCCAGCGCUGCCCGACUCUCCCAUCCGUGCCGUCCGUUUGAAAUCGGGCGUCCCCGAUCUCCGGCCCGGACCCAUCUACCUCUUCGUCGGCCCGCCUCCUCCUCCUCCCCAUCCCAUUCUCCCCCAAAUCGGCCGAGUAAACCCUAGCUAAACCCCGGCCUCCGCCGCCCCUCCCCACUCCGGCGAGCCAGCGAUCGCGACGAACUUCAAUGGGGGCGCGGACGCCGAGCGCUCCGGCGGGGUCCAGCGCGCUGGUCAGGCUCGGGCUGCUGGGCGGCGCGGGGCAACAAGACCCGCCACAAGUCGUCUUCAAGCGCCUCGAGGGGAUCAAGCAAAAGGUAACCCUCGGGCCGAUCCUUGGAUGGCUUUGCUUGCUCGCUGUUGUUUUCUGCGCGAUUGGUCCGUGGUUGAUUUCUAGUCGCCCUUGGGCGUUUGCUCCGUGCAGGUGUACGCCGAGGGGACCCAAAUCGUCAUCAGUGGCUCCAGAAGCCGAUCAUCUACGACGUCUGCGCACGACCCAACCCAAGCUGGUGGAGAACACCUUCGGGAGCCGGGAUUGGUAACGUUCUCCUGUCUCGAUGCCUCGUCGCCUAGAACAGAUGCAUGAUUUAUUGCUUACCUGGGAGCCAAAUCCAUGUUUAAGAGGGUUCGAUUUUAGUUGUCCAUGUUGAUGUUGUGCAAGUGUAGCCUGUUUGAGGUUCAGACACAUGUGAAGUGAUUAAUUUGUGAGCGAUUUGGACAUGUGGUUGGGGUCUGGUACAAGUAAAGGGCUUUGACAUUGUCAUUUCUGAGCAUAUUGUGUAAUUGUAGACUGUAACAGGGUUGUGCAUAUAGCAAAUUGGACAGGUUGAUGGGGUCUGAUACAUGUAAAGGGUCGUUGCAUUGUCAUUUCCGAGCCCUGUAAUAGGAUUGGACACAUCUGAAGUGUUUAUCAAUUUUGAUAGGUGGGUGGCGUCUGGUACACGUAAUGUGUAGUUUCCGGUUGCUGUGACAACAGCUGCUACCGCAUACCUGUCGUUGAUGGAGUCAAUUUUGGUUGACUCAUUUGGAUUUCGAUGCAACCCAUGUCAGCUGAUCUAUGAAAUCCUACGGCAUUGUACCAUAUGCACUGUCUAGUGUCUACUGCUCUGUGAAUAUGUAUUGUGGCUAAUUUGCUUUUAAUUUAUUAACAAUGGUCAACAUAAUAUAUUGCCUGUGAAUAUGCAUUUCAACUCAUUCGCUUUGAUAUCUCAACAGAAGUAACAAGUACCUUUUUUUUGCUUCGUCAUUAUAUGCCACCGUGACGAUUUAAGAUGGUUGGCUGAUGCUGAACAAGUUAUAUCAUUCUGACUAUGUGGAUUUGCUAGUGGCCAUGCGCUUCUUUUCUUUUUGAAAGUAGCGUUUACACGGCAGUUCCUUGCAUAUAUUUGAUACCGCUUGAUAAUUUGGACAGGUGAGAAUUAGUCCCCGUGUUCUUACACGACCAAUGCCAGAGACCACCAACUAUGUAGAGGACCCACUGGGAUAGAACUAUAAGGAGAGAGUGUUGCCUUCAAUCAUUCAUGAAACACCCAGAGCUGUGGUUGCCCAAUACAGCGCUAAUCACACAGAGAGAGGUACAGCUUCACCAUGUUUGCUGUGUGUACAUGCUUUCCAUGCUAUAGUAGAUGCUGGUCUUACUUGAAAUAUGUUACUAACUUAUCCUUCAUGUAAUGGCAGGCCGUGAGCAGGGAGAUCAGGAAGGUGCUGACAGAGAGGGCAAAGAAUUUCAACAUUGCUCUGGAUGAUGUGUCCAUUACCAGUCUCAGCUUUGGUAAAGAGUUCACUCAUGCCAUUGAAGCCAAACAGGUUGCUGCUCAGAAAGCUGAGCGUGCCAAGUUCAUUGUUGAGAAGGCUGAGCAAGACAAGAGAAGUGCAAUUGUCAGGGCACAGGUAAGCAAAACAGGAAUUAGAUAUUUCUCUUUCACACUACUAAACCUACUUAUCCUGUUUAUGGUUUCAAUCAUAGUUACCAGAGGCAUAUUGCCAGUGUUCUUUAUGUAUUCAUAGCUUCAUCAUAUAUUCCGUUACACUUGUUGAGUUUUGGCGCAUUUGAGCCUAACACUGGUAGCGCAUCUGAGCCAAACACCGGUAGAAAUGUACAUUCCAUCUGUUGAGUUUAUGGUACAUAGUUUCCAUACGGUUUCACCUUUUUUCAGACUUCCAGUGGUAGUUAGUAGAGGCAUAUUGCCAGUGUUGUUUAAGUCUUCGAGCCCGUUCGGCAACCCUCCACUCCAUAAAAACCUGUUGCUCCGCUCUGCUCCCCGCAGGAAGCGCUCUCCCGAUGGAGCGCCUGUGUUCGGCUGGCUCCGCUCCGUGAGAACGUGGGCUGGCAGCGCAUUACAGUCAAGUAUGGGCUGUUCAGGUGGGUAAGAAAAUCCAUGAGUGGAGCACCAACUGCUCACGCUGGAGAAAAUAGAUUCGUACCGUUUCAUUCGUGGCACUUGGCGGUGGCACAUUUUGUAAUUUCGAUCAGAUCCUGCUUCUGCUGAAAUGAGGAGCGAGGGUCAUGCCGCUCGGUCAAAUUGCACUGCACGCCGCUCCGCUCUCCCGCGACAGAUUCGCAGAGCUGAUGCGUUCGGCACGCUCCGGUCGUGGAGUUCGGAGCUGGAGUGUUACCGAACAGGCCCUUCAUAUCUUCAUAUAUGUCCCUGCAUUUGCUGAGUUUGGGAGCGCUUGAGCUUGGCUCUAGUAAAUUUGUACAUUUCAUAUGAUGAUUGGAUUGCUAUGUCCAUACUUUAGUUUUAGACUUUCAGUGGUAUGUUUGUACGAUUGAACAUAGUUUCAGACUUCCAGUGGUAUGUUGGUAUGACAGAACAUAGUUUCAGACUUCCAGUGGUAUGUUCAUACGACUGAAUAUAGUUUCAGACUUCCAGUGGUAUGUUCAUACAACUGACCGUAGUUUCAGACUUAUUCUAUGUUGAUAGUGUCACUUCCAGUCAUCCAGUGGUAGUUAGUAGAGGCAUAUUGCUAGUGUUGUUUAUAUCUUCAUAGCUUUGUAUAUUUCCUUACAUUUGCUUAGUUUGGUAGCACUUGAGGCCAACACUGGUUGUCUUCUACAUUUUGCUUGUUGAGUUUCAGAGCACCUGAUCCUAACACUGACGCGUCUUUCUGUAUCUGAACACUGAUGCGUCUUGCUCAUUGGUAAUGACAUCGCCAAUAACCCUGCGUUCCUCGCGCUCAGGCAGAUUGCAGCCGCCAGGGACAUUGCCCACAUCAUCUCAGCCUCCAACAAAAAGGUGUUCCUGGAGUCGGGCGACCUGCUGCUUAGGCUCCAGUCGCUCAAGAUCUUGGGCAACAUGAAGAAAUGAGACCGCUUCUUGUCAUGCAUGUUAUGGUUACCAUUGGCCGUCUCCAUGGAAGAAGAGUACUUUUGAGAGGAAUGAACUCUUAGUCUCUAGGAUUCGCGACCUGAAAACAACAAAGACGCCUUUGCUACUGUGAACCGUUUGUGCGCUUUUCAAGUGAACCUGUCAGCUACUAUUUCUAUGUGUAGCUUAUAACGUCUGGGCGGUUAUGUGGUGAGUAUGUUGGCCUUUUCAUGUUCAUCUUGGCUUGUUUCUUUCAUGCUGCGAAUUUCAUUGCUGCUACGAGUUCUACGAGGCAUUGCAUCUGUUGUCUGUUAUUUUACACAAUUCAACACAGGACAGCUUGAUGCCCAGGACCAUAAACUUCUGUACUUCUGUGGUUUUUUGUAAUCUUUUCUAAUUGUCGAGUUACCGUGACAAUGGUUGUCAUAGCUUACCUGCCAUCAAUGAAGUAUAUUUUUGUUGACUCACUUGGAUUUUACUGCAGCUCAUGUCAGUUGAUCUAUGAAAUCCUACAGCAUUGUAGCCUAUGGACUAUCUAGCAUCUACUGCUCUGUGAAUAAGCAUUUUAGCUCAUUUGCUUUUAAUUUAUUAGCAGUGGUCACCAUUAUAUAUUGCCUGUGAAUAAGCAUGUCAACUCAUUCGCUUUGAAUCUGUUAACAGCAGUCACAAGUACUUCUUUUGCUUCAUCAUUAUGUCUUUCCAUGACGAUUUAAGACAGUUAGCUGAUGCUGAACAAGUUAUAUCAUUCCGACUAUGUGAAUUUAUUAGUGGUCAUGCACUUCUUUUCUUUUCAAAAGUAGAAUUUACACUGCCGCUCACUGCAUAUAUUUGAUACCGCUUGAUAAUUUGGGCAGGUGAGAAUUGAUAUUCAUGUUCUUACACGGCCCAUGCCAAAGAGACUACCAACUAUGUACAGGACCCUGAGGGAGAGCUAUAAUUUGAAACACUCAAAGCUGUGGUUGCCCAAUACAAUGCAAGUCAGCUAAUCACACAGAGAGAGGUACAGCUUCACCAUGUUUGCCAUGUGUACGUGUUUUCCAUGCUAUAGUAGAUAAUAGCUGGUCUUACUUGGAAUAGGUUGCUAACUUAUCCUUUAUGUAAUGGCAGGCUGUGAGCAGGGAGAUCAGGGAGAUUUUGACAGUGAGGCUAAGAAUUUCAAUAUUGCUCUGGAUGGUGUGUCCGUUACUAGUCUCAAUUUUGGUAAAGAGUUCACUCAUGCCAUUGAAGCUGAACAGGUUGCUGCACACCAAGCUGAGCAUGCCAAAUUCAUUGUUGAGAAGGCUGAGCAAGACAAGAAAAGCGCAAUUGUUCUUUAUGCCCCGUUGACAGUUUCAGUCAUAGUUACUACCACCGGUAAGCAAAACAGGAACUAGAUACUUUUUCUUUCACAUGACUUGUCCUGUCGACAGUUUCAGUCAUAGUUACUAUAUUCAUAUUGCCAAUGUUCUUUAUGUCUAUAUAGCUUCAUCAUAUAUUUCAUUACACUUGUGGAGUUUUGGAGCGUCCGAGCCUAACAUUGGUUGUUUUGCACAUUCCAUUUGUUUAGUUUAUGAUAGACGGUGUUCAUACGACCUCCUAUUUCCUGCGUCAAUGGUUUCAGCCUUUCCUGCGUCCAUGACAUAUUCUAGUGUUGCCUAUGUCUUCAUAGCUUCAUAUAUUUCACUGCAUUUGCUGAGUUAUGGAACACUUUUGCCUGACACUAGUAAUUUUGUAUAUUUCAUAUGAUAGAUGAUUGCUAUCUCCAUAGUUUAGUUUCAGACUUCUAGUUGUACGUUUGUACCACUGAACAUAGUUUCAGCUUCCAGUAGUAUGUUCGUUCGACUGAAUAUAUUUUCAGACUUCCCGGGUUUUGUGGGUUUUGUUCAUAAGACUGUACAUAAGUUUAGACUUUCAGUGGUAUCUUCGUAUGUUCAUACUAGUGAACAUAGUUUCAGACUUAACCAUUUGCUAUGUUGAUAGUAUCACUUUCAGUGGUAAUUAGUAGAGGCAUAUUGCUAGUAUUGUUUAUAUCUUAAUAAAUUUCAUUGCAUUUGCUGAGUUUGGUAGCACAUGAGCAACAUUCGUUUUCUUGUACAUUUCCACUACUAGGAAAAAGCCUAGUAGUAGCGCGGGGUAAAAGACUAGUAGUAGCGCGGUUGCCCGCGCUACUACUACGGCGCUACAGCUAACUGGUAGUAGUAGCGUGCCUACUUCUGUUAGUAGUAGCGUGGGUGCCACCCCAGCUACUACUAGUUAGUAGUAGCAUGGGUCUGGACCGUCGCUACUACUAACUAAUUAGGAAUUAAAAAAAUAAAUUCCAGCCAUGGCUACUCCUGCUUGGCGUCAUCGUCCUCUUCAUCCAUGGCCGAUGCUGAUCCUGGAGGGGAUGAAGUCGUCCAUGGUGAUGGUGCUUCCCCAUCCAACUCUUCUCCACAAUCUCCUUUGCUGCUUCUACAAAAAAAGAGAAAAGGAUUAGAAGAGGAAGAGAGAGAUAGAGAGGAGUAGGUGCAGCAACUCACCAGUGGCUGUCGUAGUUGGGGCCGAAACCCUAAAUGAUGCCAUGGGUUGCCUCCAUCAGAGAUCUGGCCAUCGUCAUGGGCAGUGCUCUGCUAGAUCUCCCUCUCCUUUCAGUAGCGGAGGAGGAGGAAGGAGGGGCAGGGGAGGGGGUUGCGGUGGAAGAGGAGGUCGCUGGAUUUGAGGGAGAUGUCGAGGUGUGAGGUCGGCAGUUGCGGUGGGCGAGGAAGGGCAUCUCAGGUGGGAGGGAGAAGUGAAAUCGAGAGGGUGUGGGUCUGGGAUUGGGCCUCUGUGUGCUAUGUUUAGGCAUGUCCCGGGGGCACGAUGGAGAGCACUUACUAGUAGCGAGGGUUUAUAACCCGCGCUACUACUAUCAACUUAGUAGUAGCAUGGGUUUAUAAACCCGCGCUACUAGUAAGUAGCAGUAGCAAGGGGUAUAAACCCACGCUACUAGUAAGCGUCUACCUAUAAGCUUUUCCCUAGUAGCGUUUGCUUGUUGAAUUGUAGAGCACCUGAUCCAAAACACUGAUGCGUCUUUCCAUAUCUGAACAACCCUGCUUUCAUCACACUCAGACAGAUUGAAGCUUCCAGGGAGAUCACCCAUACUAUCACAAGCUCCAACAACAAGGUGUUUCUGUACUCGAGCAACCUUACAGAGUAUCACCCAUACAGAGAUGGUAUUCAGAGCACACGUUGACCGUAGGAAGUACCCCUAGGAUCGGAAAGCCAUAGGAAGAAUUACUACAUGUUUUAUUUUCCGUAUUUCUCCCUUGUUCAUUUCUGGCUUCUCUCCGAUUUUAACCUUCUAAAUGGCCGCCGAGUUCAACCCAGUCCUGCUACCGGAGUUCUGCCAACUGGAUGAGACGAUGCAUUUCGGCAAGCAGCUGAUUCAGAUCAUCAAGGAGUUAAAGAUUGCUCUGCCCUCUAUCAUCGGGACUCGUACCAACGCAUUUUCGGCGGAUACUCGCUAUAGGAUUGUGGUGCACAUUCCAGGGAAGGUCUUUCGGAAGCUUCUCAGAGCCCAUUGACAUCCAGUUUACCCCCCUACUUGGAUCCUCGGGAGGGACAUGGCUAUUCAUUGUGCACUUAGAAACAUUCAGGAGGAGUACAGGGCCGAGCUCAUCGAUUCAGACCUCACCAUGAUCUCCCGCAAAACUACAAAUGGAGAGAUCGUGCGCACAGUGAAUGACGACUCCAUCCUCUCAUAUGUCUAAGACCUGGAGACUCACAUUAGGACUCUGGAGGUUCAGACGCAUAGAAGCUUGAAGAUGUUCAGGAAGCUGCUGUUCCGUGAACUGGAGUUGGAGGAUAAAACAUGCAAGGACCACGAUGAGCAUGAAGAAGUCAAAGACCUUCUGGAAAGAAUCCAGAACUUGAAGAUAUAUUGCCGAGAUGGAAGAGAAGAUGGACCUGGGAGAAGAUCUCUAUCCGAGUGGUGAUGAUGGGCCCGUAGUGAGCAAUGAUGAGGACUACGACGAGAGCUCUGCUGAAGGGCACACCACCGGAGGACGCAACAUCGGAAGACGCAUCGCUGGAGGACUCAAUGAUAUCUGAGGAGGAUACUUAGUCAUGACUGCCAUGUUAUUUUUAUUUUACCGUUGAUCGAUUAGGCCGAUGUUUUCGAUUUGUCGUAAGAUUUGUAUGCUGAGUUUGAACUAUGAUUAAAUUGAAUAAAUAAUGAUUGGUGUGAUAAUGUUUGUGCAUGCAUAUGGGCUCUGUUUUUAAGGCGUCCCUAAGGCGUCGCUUAGGCGACGCCUAGGCGUCAGGGCGCCCCCAGGAGGCAAGGCGUCGGCCUUGCCUUACAUGUGUGUCUAAGGCGUCCGCCUUAGUCCUUAAGGCGUCCAAGGCGUCCGCCUAGGCGCCACUCUGCCUGCCUUAGGCAAAUAAGGACGCCUUAGACAGAGCUGGGUGGUUUAGGCGGGAAACAGAUAACUGGGAGGGAAGGAAAGGGCGGGAAACUUUGUUUUGGCGCCAACAGGUACUAGAGGGAGAGAGAGAGAGACCUGUAACCAUUUUCAGUUUCCCCCCACCCCCAGGCUGGAUCUGAGCUUCUCCCCCUCCUCUCUGGCAGCUUCCCCCUCCUCCCCGGCAGAUCCCCCUCCCCUCCUACAGUUCCUCCUCCUCCUCUCCUGCAGAUUCUCCAUCCUCUCCUGCAGAUUCUCCAUCCUCUCCAGAACCAUAUGGGCUCUACAACCAUCAGUUGCAAGGUGUGUAUGGCUGUAUGCCUAGUUGCCUAAUGCCUACCAAAUUCUACUUAAUUCUGUUGCUUACAAGUCUCUAACGCGUCGCCUCGCCUUAUGCCUUAGCGCUUAGGCAGUGAGGCGCCCCCCCAGCGACUCGCCUCGCCUUACCGCCUUAAAAACAUAGCAUAUGGGUAUUGUAUUUUCCUCUUUAGACCCUUAUUUUAUUCUAAUUUCUCAUCCACUCCAAAGCAUCAUAUGCCUUCGAGACGUGACCCCGGAUUCAACUUUCCCCCGGAGCUCACUCAACUGAUCCAACAACAAAAUGCCUUGAUGCAGAUGCUCAUCCAGAACCAAGGCAACAACAACAACAACAACAAUCCACUGCCACCCGCCCUGUCGAUAACCUGACCCGUAUGUUGAAUUCGGGGUCACGUCUCGGAGGCAUCUGAUGUUUUGGAGUGGAUAAGAAAUUAGAAUAGAAUAAGAGUCUAAAGAGUAAAAUACAAUACCCAUAUGCAUGCGCAAACAUUAUCACAACAAUCAUUCAUUUAUUCAAUUCAAUCAUAGUUCAAACUCUGGAUACAAAUCUUACGACAAAUUGAAAACAUCGGCCUAAUUGAUCAACGAUAAUAUAAAAGUAACAUGGCGGUCAGUCAUGACUAAGUGUUCAACUCAGAUAUCUUUGCAUCCUCCGGCAGUGCGUCUUUCGGUGUGCGUCCUUCGGUGGUGCGUCCUUCAGCAGAACUCUCCUCGUAGUCCUCAUUAUUGCUCACUACGGGUCCAUCGUCACCACUCGGAUAGAGAUCUUCUCCCAUGUCCAUCUUCUCUUCCAUCGCGGCAAUAUAAGUCUUCAAGUUCUGGAUUCUUUCCAGAAGGUCCUUGACUUCUACAUGCUCAUCGUGGUCCUCGCGUGCUUUGUCCACCAACUCCAGUUCAUGGAAUAACUUCCUGAACACUUGAAGCUUCUACGCGUCUGAACCUCCAGAGUCCCGAUGUGAGUCUCCAGGUCUUGGACAUAUGUGAUGAUGGAGUUGUCAUUCACGAUGCAUACGAUCUCUCCAUUUACUGUUCUGCGGGAGAUCAUGGUGAGGUCUGAUCCGAUGAGCUCGGCCCUGUACUCCUCCCGGAUGUGUCCAAGUGCAUGAUGAAUAGCCAUGUCCCUCCCGAGGAUCCAAGUAGGCGAGGUAAACUGGAAGUCAAUGGGCUCUGAGAAGCUUCCGAAAGUCCUCCCUGGAUUGUGCACCACAAUCCUAUAGCGAGUGUCUGCCGGAAGUGCGUUGGUAGGAGUCCUGGUGAUAGAGGGCAGAGCAAUCUUCAACUCCUUGAUGAUCUGAAUCAGCUGCUUGCCGAAAGGCAUCGUCUCUUCCGGCUGGCAAAACUCCGGCAGCAGGACUGGGUUGAACUCGGCAGCCAUCUAGAAGGUUGAAAUCGGAGAGAAGUCAGAAAUGAACAUGGGAGAAAUACAGAAAAUAAAACAUGUAUUAAUUCUUCCUAUGGCUUUCCGAUCCUAGGGGUUAUGUCCUACGGUCAGUGUGUGCUCUGAAUACCAUCUCUGUAUGGGUGAUACUUGUUGUUGUUGGAGCUUUGCUAGAUAUGGCUUUCGCUUCAAUUUUGAAUUUGGCAUUAAGAUAUAUUCUGCUGAAAAUGACAAAACUUACUAUGUAGAUGCAAAAUAGUAGCAAAAUACAUGAAAGUUUGGCAUUAAGAUAUAUUCUGCUGAAAAUGAAAUACAAAAGUGGAUCAUACCGGCUUGAACAUGUCAACAACAAUGUCAUCCAGACCACCACUGAGCUCCCUUUGCAGCCCACUUGUCCCCACGAGAUCAUUGUUGUUGUAAUUGAGCUGAUUACCAACAGCUUGCUGAUCAAUCUUGCCAUCCUGCAGAGAGGAACACCACCUGUAUUCCCGCCAUCCAGAGUCUGCCUUGGCACAACCGAAUUGUCAAUGCGAAGGUUUGGCAAUGAAGUGUUGAUGCCUGAAUUGCUAAACGCAAGGUUGCUAUUGAGCGUCUCUCUCAAGUUUGUGCUGUUUCCAAAGGUGAAUGGCGCUGCACCCUGAUUGAAUACCAUUGGAAGGGUAUUGCUAGCUAGUGGUGCUACUUGGUUCUGCAUAUCAUUUCCCAGAGAUGUAAUCUGAUUUGAUGGUGGUGCAUAGCUUGAGACAGGUUCCAUCCUAGGGCCAUUCCCAUGCAAGCUUGCUUGGGACAUGCUGCCGUUCUGACCAAGUUGCUGAAUGUUGGACGGCACUGCAGUUUGCCAGGUGUUACUACUUCUUCCAAGAUCUGGAAAGUGGGGAGAAUCACUAGCGAAUGAGCUAAAUGAGCCUGUCGAAGACGAAUUUAUCCGACCAAGGUGUUGCCUGUUGUUUGAUUCAAGAGACUGAACUGCCCUAUUUGUAGGAGCCAAUGGUGCACCAUUUGAAAUGUUUGCAAAAGAGUUACCAGAAGUACCAGUCACCAUGGUUGACAUGUGUGCACCCCUGAUCAGGUUACCAUUAUUGACAUCCAAAUCGUUCAGGGAAGUGCCCAGAUUAUUCUGGGCAUGGCCAAGGUGAAGUGGCUGCGACUGUGGAGACAGCAACCCAUGCAUUCCGUAUGCAGAAGGGGAGUUCAUCCUUGCAACAAGGUUAUAGCUUCAUUCAUUUGGGUUAUGAAAGAGCAGUUGUUGUAGUUUUGUUGCCAGCACAUGUUUGUAUUGCUAAAACCUCAUUUUGUUCAGCUCCUGAAGCCUGAAGUAUGUGAGUUAUCAAGAAGCACAAUUUACAUGAUGCUAAUCAUGAUAAGGUAUGGUGUAGGUAUUCCCAAUUUGAUUAUAAAAUUAUCACAAGCAUUUUACUUGGUUCAUGAUUUGGUACAUGCCUCUCUUAUCUCACUCUCUACAUUAGUUGUGCGGCCAUCGGCGAUGGUGACCUUGACCGAACUGAUGAAAUUUCAGGACCAUAAUGCCUCCCAAAUCAAGGGGUUGCUGAUCAAUUUCAUCCACUCAGAGUGGCCAUUGCUUCUCAAAGUUCCUUCUUUCUUGGUUGAUUUCAUUACUCCAAUUAUCAAGGUCUGCAACUCUCUCGGUCAUUCGUCACAUAUAUAAUUUUUUGUUCUGAAGAUACAUGGUUAUACAUAUUUCAGUAUUAAGUUUUGUCAUUCUGUUGGUUUUAUAACUCCUAUAAACUUUUCCUUAUUUGUCCAGGCAACCAAUAACUAGAGCAUAGCUGUCAAGUCGUUUUAUUUAUUGCCAGACUAUGAAGCAUGGAAAGAGCAGCUAGGAGGAAAUGUAAGUUGUUCUAUAAAGUUCUACAGGGUGUGUUUUUGCCAUUUGCUUAUUAAGUUUCGCCCUUGUUUUUCACUGGAUGGUACUAUCAUAAAGAUGACUGUACUUGUAUUUGGUCUUCACUGAGUUAGUGCGCGCUUGGAGUUCCUUCAGAAUCAAGACAAGAAAAGCUUUGGGUUCAGAGAAAUUUUCAACACUGUUUUAUUAUUUCAAUUUUUGCGAUUUCUGACGUUCGAGUCAAGGAUGUCAAGAUUUCCUUGUUUUGUUAUUGAUGGAAAAUGUAUAAUGCUCUAUUGGGAACCUUUUAUUCUCUGUUUAGUCUGUACUAUGUAAGUUUUCAUUCUUGGUAAAGAACUAAAUGAUGUUUUGCUGCUACACUCUUAUAAUGCCUUUUCUUGAAGAAGAUUAUAUUAAUUGGUUGGUGAGCUGAUCUAUCUGUGAUUUGUACCUCGGUUGACAGGAUAUCUCAUAUAUGAAACCAUGAAUCAGGGAUCGUUGGGUUAUCUGAGCUGGUAUAACUCCGGAACGACAAAGUGGUUCAGGUCUGUGGCCAUGACGAUCCAAUACUUCAGGUGACAUUGUGAACCAGGUUAUCCCCAUUGAGCUUGUUGACACCCUUACUAUUAUUUGCUGCUCUGUUUGGUUUGGAGGUACCCCCAUGUUCCAUGAGAUAGCUUGGCUGGCUGACGCAUCCAUGUUUUAUGUGUUUUAUGUGGUGUUCGUUGUGAGACAAAGUUUGAGCCUUUGAGGUUGAUCUGAUCUGUAGCUAUUUAGUUUGAGUACAUGCAUUCAUAGAUUUGGGUCCUCUGGAGCUUGAGUUCUUUUUGGGUGCUAUUUGGGUGUGGCUUUUUGUACACAUGAUCACAUGAUCAUGCCAUGAGUGACUGGGGAACUACCAAUGAGAGCCUUUAAUUUUUUCCUUCUAAUGGCUAAUACUUCUCUUCUUAACGUAUGUUUAUUGUCCAAGAGAAGGAGUGGAUAUCAUCUACUCAGAUUUAGCCCAUUUGAAAUUUCUAAAAAACAAGUCAGACCCUAUCGACACGCUUGCUCUUCCUGGUGCAUGUCUUCUUCAAAAGUGUCACAACGAUCGCCAAAAGAUACCGUGGAAUGGACGUUUGCCUAUAUGGCACAGCACAAGCACGCCUCAAGCGGCACACCCAACCCCUAGUUUCAUAUGAUAGAUGACUGCUAUGUCCAUAGUUUAGUUUCAGACUCCCAGUGGUAUGUUCGUAUGAGUGAACAUAGUUUCAGACUUUCAGUGAUUUCAUAGCACUGAACUUUCAGACUUCCAUUUGCUAUGUUCAUAGUGUCACUUCCAGUGGUAGGUAGUAGAGGCAACACUAGUUUUGUAUAUUUCACCUGUUGAGUUUUAGAGCACCUGAUCAGAACUCUGAUGCGUGUUUCUAUAUCUGUGCAGGGAGAGGCAAAGAGUACAGAGCUCAUUGGUAAGGCCACUCGCCAACAUCCCAGCUUUCGUCGCGCUCAGACAGAUUGAAGCCGCCAGGAGAUCGACCUGCCUGCUUGGGCUCCAGUCGCUCAAGAUCUGCAAUAACAAGAAAUGAGACCGUUUCCUGUCAUACACGUUACGGUUACCGUUGACCGUCUCCAUGGAAGAAGAGUACUUCUGAGAGGAACAAACACUUACUCCCUCCGUCCCAUAAUAUAAGAACGUUUUUGACACUAAUGUAGUGUUAAAAACGUUCUUAUAUUUUGGGACAGGGAGUAGUUUCUAGCAUUCCUGACCCGAAAGCAACAAAGACGCCCUUUGCUACUGUGAACCGUUUGUGCGCUUUUUCAAGUGAACCCGCCAGCCACUAUUGCUCUGCGUAGCUUAUAAUGUCUGGGCGGUUAUGUGGUGAUUAUGCUGGCUGUUUCAUGCUCAUGUUGGCUUGUUCCUUUUGUGCUACGCAUUUCAUUGGUGCUGUGAGUUCGCUUGAGACAUUGCUUACUUCGCUUCUGUUGCCAUUUAUUUUAGAUAUUUAGUUGCAAAAUGGUUAAUGCACAGCCCUCUUGGGUACAUAGAACUGCCAGCCAGGCUGCUUCUGGCCCCUUCAAGGAUUACUACAGAAUGAAGAUGAAUCACUUUCCAUCCGGCUCUUGAAUGUUGCGAAGAUGGCGCCAGAGCCCACUCGUUUCAUGCAAAAUCAAUAUACUCCAUUCCCUCAUACAAGGCCACUUCAUAUUUUUAUGUCUAACUUUGACCAUUAAUUUUACCAACAAAAAGUGAGUUAUAUGCCACAAAAAGUAUUUCAUUGGAUGCACAUUUGAAUGAACUUUCUGAUGAUAUAUCUUUGAUGACAUAUAAUUCAUAUUCUAUUGACCAAAAUUAUAAGUCAAAAUUUGACACCAAAAAUGAAGUGACCUUGUAUAAGGGAAUGGAGGGAAUAUCUUAUUACAUAGUCACAUUUUCUUUAAAUAAUAGUCACUGUAGGUUAUGCAGUUAGAGAGUACUCUUCGUUUCUUACCCUGCAGAUUUGGUUCUAGGUCUAGAAAAACAUGUAUGGAACAUUGGAGCUACAGGUACAGAGCUUUUCAUAUUUACUACACUCCUCGCAAGAUAAAAUAAAGAUAAUUAAACAACCGUAAAUGUUUAACAUGGCAAUUUUUAUUUUGUAGAUCAUACGACCUUUUUUAUAUCACACUCAUUGUAAUUUUAUAAAAUUAGAGAGAUGACAGUUUUUAUAAAGUAGCAUGGCGUUUUUUCAUAAAUUAGAUCAUGACAAUUUAUUUGAGGGUCUUCAUUUGUGUUACUUGCAUUUUUUUCAAAAGAAAAAACUAAAUGGGCCUCUGGGCCAACAAGAGGCCGCACUAGAGAGAACCAUCUGAAACGACGUUUGCCGAUAGUGUUCCUAGCUAAACGACAUUUGGAAGGCCUCCUAGCUAAACAACAUUUGGAAGGCCUCCUAGCUAAACAACUCGGUCCUUAGGGUUCCCUCAAAAAAAAAAAAAAACUGGGUCCUUAGGGUCCUAAAACAACUGAGUCCUUAGAUUUGGGGGUCCUCCUCAACCCGGCACACCUACGCGCCGCCGUUUCAUCCAGCGACCUCCUCCCUCCUUGCCCAUAAGACGCAAUUCCAAUGGCACGACUGACUGGCAGUAGCCACUUACCAGCGACACUACACUACCGCACGUGCCAGCUGAACGCCACUAGUAAGCACAUUCACACGCCGCUAAUUAGGGGAUUCUAUACUAGUGUUUGUCAUUGUUUGUCACCACCACCGAUUUGGUCAGGGAUGGGGGCUUGACACAUCACCGUCGACAGAAAUCCUCGUGUGUUCGGCUCUUGAAUGUUGCAAAGAUGGCACCAGAGCCCAAACACACUUGGCCACGCUACACUCAAUCAUUUUGGUCUUCUUGAAUCUUUGAUUUUAACAAUUUCAUGGUCGUCAAUCAUGCUCUCUCAUUUCUCUCCAUAGGCUCACACAUCGCCCAUCCCCCACAAUCGUAUCCCUGAACAAAGCCUUCAUCCACUCAUUUUUGUCUUCGUAUAGGCUCUCGUCUUUUCCCUCUUUCUCGCCACCAUUUUGUCAGGCACUUGCUGCCGCAAUGACAACAACGAUGCCUCUAAAAUAUCAUCCAUGUUGCAUACACAGAGGAACAACAUGUGGACGCACGAAAUAUGCUUUUCAAGGUUAACCAUUUUAUUUUAUUUUGGUCGGAGUGUGCCUGUUCCAACACAUAAUAACCAUUCAUGUGGCAAGCUACAUAAAUAGGUUCUCCCCAUAAAUAAAUAAAUUAAUAUCAUGUGUGGAUUCAAAGAUCCACGUAUCAGAUAUUAAACUGAUAAGAACAGAUACUGCACUUGAUCUUAGCCGAAGGCCGAGAAAGGUAUGCUUUAAUUGGUGAUCCUGCGUCCACUUUUAUUGCUCCCUGAACCGCCUCUCCCCAGGUGCAAAAGCAAUAUUGGACUAUUCCAACAAUAUGCGAAAAUCCGUUUCUGAGCUCGGGCUCAGCUGAUCCUGAUAUCCACACCAAUGGUGUGCGCCAAGAUCUGUGCGUCUUCCUGUAUUUCCAUGUCGUAUAUGCCUUUUCUGCCUCAUGUGACAGCCGCGCAUUUAUGAAAACGGCACGUCGCAAGGCCGUCGCGGGACAGAUAGAGAAGCGAUGGCUCGGCACCCCAUCUGAGCCAUGAGCCGUAUGAAGGAAGACUACGCUCAGACGGCGUCGACACAUCCGCCAUUAAAUGCCCACCACCCCAUCCAUCUCAUUCACUCUCCCGAGCUAGCCCCUGCUCAGCCAUCUCCAUCUUCAUCCUCAUCUGCGACCGCCGGUAACCAAGCUGGUGAACGCUUCUACAAGUGCAUCCGCUACGAUGCAAUCGGCAAUCUAAUUUAAUUCUCUUGAAAUAUUAGUCUCCCGUGUCUGCUGGUCGGGCUGAUUUUUGAUUAUGUUACUUGACCCGCAUGAGGUUACUCAACUGAAGGAAGCCAGACAAUUAACCCAGAAUGGAUCCCCACGUGUUUAAGGUUCAAGGAUGCAACCAGUGAAAAUGAAACAAGGAAGUAGAUUUUACAAACAGGGCCGUCACAACGGAACGCGUGAACGAUACUAAUUAACCAACAUCUUCUAGCACACAAAUCACUUACCAGUUCUCAUUUAGCUACGCGACCUAGUCUAUUAUACGGCGGCGUUUAGGCGGCAUGCUGAUAAUGUCCUCCUCAUCUUCAGUCUUCCACGUUGCCACCAAAGAGGACACCAGAUCGGUCGUCGAUGGCAGAACUACCAGUGCUACGCGGCGAAUCCGGAGCAGCAGCUGGAUCAUAAUCACCAAAUUUUUCUUCCCAUGAAUCUUGCCCCACCAUGCUGCCCAAAUCAAUGGGUGAGAGUCCGGUGGACAGACUCAUCUUGCUGGACGACCUCGCCCUGAGAAAUCAAAAGCUAACGAGAUCAGAGAGGAUUCAGUUAUGCAUCUGCUUCCUGCCCGAGAGUUAGCCGCAGAUCGGGCUGCUCACCUCUCCAUUAGCGUCGUCGACAUACGCUGGCAGAUGCGUCGUGCUCCAGGCGCUAGAUGCGGAGUCCACGCGGGAGGGAGGUGAAGGCUGCAGCAAGCAGAGAUUUUUUUGAUUCAGAAUCGUUGUGCCGCUGAAUCAUAUGCACAGAUCACUUCGAAGUUCAGAAAAAGCUAGGGAGAACUCACAGGAAGAUUCAAUCCCACGAACGCAUCAUGCCCCGCCCCUCUGGUUGUGCCACUACUUGCCGAUUCAGCGAGAGAACCUCCCAUCGGAUGCCGGCGACCCGUUCAAAAAAAUUCAAAAUCAGUUUGGCAAUGGUAUUGGCCUGGAUGUCAGCGAACGCCUCAAGUGUCUUUUGGACAUCGUCUUCAGCCUGUUCACGGCUAAUCUUCCCACAAAUACUCCUGAGCGUCCUCUUCGUGAAAGGGACCUUCUUGACCGAACCAAAGAAGCUCCCAACUAUGCUGUAUACCUUCCCAAGGUUAACAUUGUUUUCCCUCAGUUGCUUUAUCAAAUGCUUAGUGUAUAUAUCUAUGUGUUUAUGAGAAGGCCAGUGCACUUUCUCUCCCAUUGUCAGCGACAUGGAAUGGUUGUGACUCGCUCGAUGCUCUGUUAUGUACCAGCUGUUGUUAGAUGCACGCAGAAGCCUGAUCAGAGCUGGGAACUCACAUAUGCAGGACUGACUGUUUCCGGUUUCCGGUUUCCCCUGUAGAAUAUCCAGCAAACAUGUCAAAAGUAGCCCAGCUCUAGUUCCAAAAGAAAUCUUGAUCGUAGUCAUUACUAUUAUUUCCACAUUUAGGUUUUUCAUUUUUAUUUUGUUGCAUUAAAAGUGUACUCACCGAGCAACCACAAACUAUUUCCUGCAUGCCUUUUGUCCUCUCGGCGUUGAGUCUGCUUUUUCCAUAUCUUAUGCCAAAACCUAAUUCCCAAGAAUAUAGGUUAUAGAAAUCAUAUGCCUCGCCCAACGAAUCAAAACUGAGUCCUAGCUCAGGUCUAACAACGCUCUUGUCAGGCUGCUCUGCAUAUUUGAGGAUUGAAACCUCGAGAGCGCUCAUCCUCGAUGGGCAUGGCACUCGGUCUGCAUAUUUGCAAGAAAAAUGGAAAAUGUAGUUAAUUUCCUGUUUUUUAUUCCACACAGAUGAUUCCUCUAAUAGCAGUUUUUUUUUUCAUUUUCAUAUCUUUUUCGGUUUGUGUCCCCUUUGUUUACCCUAAACAUAAACAUCGGCAAUUUGCAAAUACCACAACGGCGCGCCGGCCUUCUUUUGCCCUGCCCAGAAAUCUGUUUUCUGAUGUGAUACUCCUAAUAGCAGCAGUUUCUUUUCUCAUUUUCUCCUUUUUCUGGAUUUGUGUCACAUUUUUAUAUCCUGAACAGGAAUAUACGGCGGUCAUGUAAAGUUAAAUUUGCAGGGCAUUUUGCAAUACCACAACAGGAUUGCUGACAUUUUUUGUCCUUUUUCGGAUUCGUGUCUCAUUUGUACUCCCUCCGUUCCAAAAUAGAUGACCCAACUUUGUACUAAAGUUAGUACAAAGUUGGAUCAUCUAUUUUGGAACAGAGGGAGUACAUACUAAACAUAUAUGUAUAUAUAUGGUGCUCAGGUAAAAUUAAUUUGCAGGGCAAUUGCAAAAUACAACAACAGGGCUCUGACCUUUUAGUCCAUCCGGGGGACCUCGUCGGAGAUUCAGCACGAAAACGCUGGUCACCUUCUUGUCGGUCUGUAGCUGCUCCUUCGUCCUCCAUUUGAGCCAGCCCAGAAACACCAUUCACCUCCCCAACAUCCUGGGUUGCACUCCCCUUCUCCAGCAGAUAAUGGAGUGGAACUGGAUCUGGGUGGUCAAGGCUGUCAGCAAAUCCCUCCCGUACGGGGAAUCUGCGAGAGGAACGGCGAAACGACGGCAUCAGAAUCAGAUUUAUAGGCAGGGCAGUUCAAGCACAACUCAAAGCUUGUCGCCGUCUGUAAUCUAAAAUAAGAAAAUUUGCAGAGAUCUACCCGGAACCAACCUGACCACCGCAUCAAGCAGGAACUCCAUACCCUCGGCGUCCAUCCGUCGCUAGCCCGACGUGGAAACACCGGCGCCGCCGCAGUCCGGUAGGCCGACCUCCGCGACACGCUCCCCUUUUUGUCCCCCACACCCUAGGUUACCACGGCGGCGACGGCCCACUAGAAUGAACUAGGAAAGGCGAGAACAGGACGGCACAUACUGCGCCACCGUCACGGACCCAUAUCUGAUCCUUGGCCCAGACUAAAAAAGCAAACGUGCUGGUCCACAGCCUAGUCAGAAAGCCAACGUGCUGGUCCACGGCCCAGGCCGAGCCGCCGCGACGUCCGUCGGGCCGUAUCAAGCCGACCCCACGUCUUGCGCACUGUUUUCUACCGUAUUCGGGGGAUUCGCUGUUUUAUUGACGCGCGUAUCUGACAGUCCAGCUGGAUUUGUUCACAUCCCAAGACUGAAACGAACGAGCUAGAUUACGGGUGCAGCUGAGCCCGAGCUCCAAAACGCCCCUCUCGCAUAUGGGAGUAUUCGCUAGAAAAACAAAAGGCUGCGCUGGUCCAACCAGCGAUGCGGGCCGGGUGGGCCAGCCUCGCUGGGCUGGUCCUCGUUUUGGGAUCGGGAACCUACGCAACGGCCCAAUUCCCCUAUGCCAAAAGACACAGUCGCAUUGGGCGAAAGCCGCCGCCGCGGACGCGGCGGACCCGAUGGCCGGAAGCCGCCGCCGCCGCCGCCGCGGAAGAGCGCGGCUGCCGCAGCAGGGUGCCGAACCCUCGCCGCAGGCAGAGACCGCUCUCAGCUCCACGUCUGCACCCUCACCCCAACCGUAACCUCGCUCGUCUCUCCUUUCCCCCUCUUUUAUCUUUCACACAUCUUCGUUAGUUAGGGUUUAAUUAAAGUAGAAUCGGGAGAGGCAGUAAUCUUGCCCUAGCGAAUCCGUAGUGAAAUUUACAGUAUUUUGGCGAAUUGGUAGGAACAUCUUGAUGAUUUGACAGGUGAUAUUUACGGCAUUUUUGUGAAUUAGUGGUGGUAUAAUUGACUCACUGGCCUCCCCUAAACUUGGAUCGCCACCACUGUCUACAAGGUGUGCCACUCGGUUCAGUUGUUGAUAACUCCAUUGUCUCUGAUGAGGGAAAUAGUUUCAGUUUUCCUUAAUUGCAAUGUAGAUGAGUAUUACAGUUGCUGCCUUGAACUGUGCUCACUUGGUUCAGUGAUUGCCUGAAACUCAGAGUCCAAUGUGAUUUGAUCGAUUCUUUUACUGUGACUGUUAUUGGGAAGGAGUAAAUUAAAAUUUCUUAUCAAAGCUGUCCGCGUAAACAUCAGAGGGAUUAUCACCAUUUUUUUUGUUUGUAAAAUGUAUAUUGGUCACCUGAUGUGAUUCAGUUUAGUGCGUGGUUGGGUUGGAUCCAGAGUAGAAUCAGCAAGGAGCGUCUCCCAUUAUAUCACUUGAUAUGAUUAAGAGUGUUGCACGCUUGGGUUGGAUAAUGUAUAUGGCCUCUUGUUCGUUUGGUCUUUCUCAUGGUCAUGGUGCUGCCAUGAACAAUGUUUACUUCUGUUUGAUGACCAAGUGAAAAAUAGAUAAGCAAAUGAUCGCUAUGCAAGUUUUCUAGAAGAAGGGGAGCAUGCUAUUCCGCUUUUACAUCAAGCAAAAUCAUCACUUAGAACUAUUUAUUUCAAGGAUACUCUACAAGGCACCCCACCUGUCACGAUAUGAAAGUUAUAUAAUUGUAUAUAGCGUUGUCUCACUGAAGAUAUUAUAGCUAGAGUAUGUUAUCUUAGAAAAAAAGUCAAGGUGUAGGUGGUUCUAGAGUAGUUUCUUUUGAUAGAAGUUUGACAUGUCUCAGUUGACACUCAUGUUUGCCUUAUUGUUCAGCUAAAGCCUGCUGCAUUUCUUGUACUGUAUUAACUCCUGAAGUAUUUAUUCACUCCAAUUAUGUUUCAGUUCUUUAUUUUGAUCCAUUAUUCUUGAAUUUCUAUGCAGCAGAGAAGUUACCACUGUGGAGAGAACCUCGAAGAACGCCUGCCCUGCUUCAGCCUCUACCUCCUUGCCUUUGUCUGGCCCUCAUGUUUGUGCAGAUCUCCUGGACAGCCUGCUUCAAGAAAUUCUGCUUCAUGAAAUUAUUGCUCUGUUUGACUCAUUCUAUGACUUCCUUGCAUUCAUUGGCACCUGCCGCUCUUGGCGCGCUGCAGUCUCUACCUUUCCCUCUGUGCAUACAUUCAGCUUCCCGCCGCUCCACUUCAAACCAGAUGGUCCUUAUGUUCAUCCACAUAGCGGCCCUAUCAAGCCCAUCCUUUUAUCUGAUUGCAAAUGGCAGCUCAGUGAUCCUAGCAAGAAAAACUCAUCUCUUGCGUGUUCAGUGCCUAAAAAUAGUCCAAAUAAAAUGCACUAUUUGGGCUGCUCGUAUGGGUAUCUUAUCUUCUCCUACAAGGUUCACUGCCUCCUUGUCGAUGUGUACACUGGUAGCAAGGUGAUGCCCCCCAAACUCCCACGUAACAGUGAUCUUGGGUACUUUUGUGGCAUAGGCAUCCUUACGGCCCCAUCGAUUUCACCCAACUCUCGCCUCCUCCUUUUCUCAAGAGAUUCCAUGUUUGAGUGGCAGGUUGGAACAAACUCCUGGUCAGAGCACACCCUUACUCUUGAUAAUGAACGCAUCUAUCAGAUUGUGUUCUUCAAAGAUGAUAUCUUUGUCGUAGAUGCUGUUCUCAGGCUCCACACUAUACACCUGACACCUCAGUUCAGCAUGCAAGAAAUAGCAAUUAAAUAGGAGUUUGUGCCUAUGAACUCAUGGUUGGUGGUCUGUGGUGACAUGCUUCUCUUGAUUGACCAAAGGUUCAGCUCUGGCGGAUUGGGUGGCUCAUCUAACACGAUCUUUAGGGUCUCUCGCCUCAACUUCUCUGUCGAGCCAGCUAAGUGGGUGAAGUUGGAGAAGCUGGAUAAUUAUGCUCUGUUUGUUAGCCCUGACAGAAGGAAUCCUACAUUUUGUUGCAUGAGCCCGGAAAGAUGGGGAGGAAAGAGUAACUGCAUUUAUUUUGCGAGGCUAACUGAAGAUCCCGAUGAAACUUGGACCGCGGUCGAGUUUGGUCAGCCAGUGCCAGACAGUGCAGUUCGCGCCAUGCUCUUCUAUGAUAUGUCGUCCCCUCCAGACUGUGGUGUACUAAGUAGCCUCUGGGUGUUCCCCAGUUUAGUUUAUGGUUCUGGCUAGUAAUUCUUUCUAGUUCGCAACUAGUUCUGUAGCUGUAAUGGUUUUCUGACUUUGGGACCUGUCCAAGUAUGAUUAAUCUGUAUGGGAUUGCAUCUGUCAUCUGGUUGCGCUGGUAGAUGCAGCAGUAGAAUGGUCACAUGUGUUUCAACCAUCUGCUGUUAAAUGAGACAUAUGUACUGUCAAAUGUAACCUGGGUACUAUU